AUCAAUUCGCAAAAAAAUAAAAUAGAAAGUCAUAUAGUGAAGAAAAAAAUUAUAAUGAUAAAUUAUGUGACAUAAUUUAUAAUAAUAAAAAUUCUUACAGGAACAUGGGAGUCCCUAGCGUUUCUUUUUGGAUCAGUGGCAGAGAAGACAGUGUAGACAAGAACAAAGGUACCAAUAAUCUCAGCACCCAAAGCUGUACCUUUGUUGUAACCAUCAUGAACAAAGUUAGCACCACCUCCAUACCUGUCAAAGUAUGCUUUUUGGAAACCCUUUGCUAGUCCGGUACCGGAGAUCGCACCGGCACACUGCGCUGCCAUGUAAAACACCGCCCUCAGCAACGACACCUUUCUUCCUACGAAUAGUCCGAAUGUCACUGCCGGAUUUAUGUGCCCUCCUGGUAUCAUAAUUGAACACCUAAUUAAGCUUUAUAUACAAACAUAACAAAAUUUAAUAGCAAUUUAUUGUAAGAGGGAGAAUAAACAUACCAGAAAUACCAGCAGUGCAGUAAACAAGGAUGAAAAUCAUGCCACCAAAAGCCCAAGCAAUACCCAAAAUCCCAACACCAUCACAAUCAGUACCACCAGCUUUAGGAUCACUCUGAUGACUAUAACCAAUAAUGGUCAAAAUUGUGACAUAAAGGAACAAAAGUGUUGCUACAAAUUCAGCUAUAAGAGCUCUAUAAAAAGACCACUUUGUUAACUCAUCAAAAUCAAUCAAUGGUGCUGGUGGUGGAUCUUGGUAAUCUUUAGCUGAGAAUUCACCAUGUUCUUGAACCUCAACAUCUUUAGCCAUUGCUGCUUAAACAAAACUAUGUUUGUUUUUUUUUUAAUUUUCAAAGUGGGAUGGGAGAGUAGUGUGGGUUGAAUUGAGUAGAAAGGGGUGGUAUUUAUGUAACAAAUGAAAGGAAAAGGAAUCAAAUAUUUUUAAGUAUGUUUUUUUGUUCGUUUAUUGAUAAUGACAGGAUUAAAUUAAACGCAAUUUUUUUUGCCGUCCUACUUAGGUUGAUUUCGCUUGCAUGGUCCCACUUUAUUAGGACCCCAUUCCAACGGGACUUAUUGAUUUAUUUGCAUAUUAUUAUUAUUAUUAUUAUUAUUAUUAUUAUUAUUAUUAUUAUUAUUAUUAUUAUUAUUAUUAUUAUUAUUAUUAUUAUUUUAAUUUUAAUAACAAUAAAUCUAAAUGACUUGUGUCAGAAUGAGCCAGGCUUCAAGGUUUUCGAAGAUGUUAUAGAGAUUCUUACAAAUUAUUUAAUAUACAAUAGUAAUUGUAUCUUUUAAAAAUUAUAAUAAUAAUUCAAAAACUAAUUUUCAUUUUUAAAUGAAUAAAAAUUAGGGAUGAAAACAAAAAUAUUAUACAUUUAUUUUCAAUGAUUAAAAAUGUUGUUUUGAUGUUAUUAUAAUGAUAAUAAUAAUUAUUAUAUGGUGUGGUGUGGUCCAGUAUGACCUAAAAAGGUAGUUGUAUGCCAACGGCUACAUGUGAUUAUGGGCAAGUAUGGAAUUUGAAAAGGUGUUUUGUGUAGAUAGAUAGAGAAUUAUGAGGCAAACUAAGCAUCAACAACAGGGUGUACUGCUUUUGCUGUUCUGUCUCUCACUAUUUUGGCAAUUCAUAAUCAAUGACUGUGGUCCCAUCUGUUUUUUUUGUUUUCAUCCGUACUAACUAUUCAUUAAUCUCUAUUCCAUCGUAAAUUUGGUAACGUUUUAUCUCUAAUUGUUUUAUUACCAAAUAUUAAAUCUAGAUACUAGUUGAGUAUUUUUCUUUAGGUGGAACCGCAUUUUGCUAGUGUUUGUUUCCCUAAUUCUCUAUCUGGUCUUAUAAUUAGUGGUCGACAAUUAAGUCAUUUAAUUAUUUUAUUCAUAUUAUAAAAAUAUAUUAAUAAAAGAAAGAGGAAAUUACUGUGUAAUAUUAUAAAUGUAUAAUAAAAUAUAUUACAUUAUAGAUGAUAUAAAUAAUAUUAAUUAAAUAAUACAAUUAAAAAAAGUACAUUAAAAUUGAAAUAUUCAUUUAUUUUUAGAGAAAAAAAUUUCAACAUCUUAUCUUCAUGAGAAAAAAACAAUAACAAAAAUUCACGUUUACUUAAACUCUUCAUGAACCUUCAUGAGACAAAUUUUAAUGAUUAUGGUUUACUAUAUAACUGAUAUUUUAAAAAUAUUUAAAACUCUAAUUACCAUAAAUUUUAUCUCUUAUAAAUAAAUAUUAAUGAUUAUUUUUAUUUUUAUGAAUCAUGAUUAAGAUAAUAACUUAACGGAUAUUAAUUCGAUAAAAAAAAAAUAAAUGUUUGUCUCACAUUGAAUCAAUUUUAAUCAAGUUAUUGUUUUAUCAUUAAAAAUAUAAAAAAUCAUAAAUAUUAAUUAAAAAGAGUAUUUAUUAAAAAAUUUAAUAAUUUUUAAAUAUUAAUGAAUGAUCUUGAUCAUUCAUUAAUGAAUGUAUAAUUUCCCUCGAUCUUAUAUUCCAUUGUAUAUGGAACUAAGGCUUUGCUUGUGCACCAGCUAGUUAGGUAUCGCAUUGUGCGUGAGGUCUCUUAUUUAUUGGAUCAAAUGUCCUACAAUAUUAACUAUGGAUGAAGCAUAGUGGGAAGAAGAGCGUUAAGAUAGAAAAUACAUUUUUCCAUUGUUGAAAGAUUUUUUUAAUGUAUUGAGUUCUUGGUUAAAAUUGUAUUGUUCUUAUCUAUGAUGUUUACUUUUUGGAAUUUAUUUUUAUUUUUUUCAAUAAUUUUUGUACCCAUGGAUAUCAUACAGGGUGUACAAAAUCCAAUUCGUUCUGCGAAUUCGACUUAAUUUGCAAGCAACAAGUUGGAUUUGAUUCGAUAAUAAAAUAAAAACAAAAAAUAAAAUUAGGAUAGGAACAAAGUAAAAAAAGAUCCAGUUCAGGUCAUCCUAUGCGUUAUUCGUCCAGUCUCAAAAUGCAUUAAGGACAAAUAAUUAUUUUUAUUUUAUUUUAUUAUUGAUUCAAUUACACUAAUUUUAUUUAAGGUUUGAAAAAAAACUUAUUUUUCCUAUAUCUUUUUUUCUCCCUGCAAUUGCAUAUUCACUUUUCUUCCUUAUUAUUAUUAUUAUUAUUAUUAUUAUUAUUAUUAUUAUUAUUAUUAUUAUUAUUAUAAAACAAUAUUGAUUAGAUAUUACUUUUGAUUAAAGAGUAAGACUACUAAGUGGUAUAUAUUUAGUAAAUAGUAAAAUAUUUAUUUUGAUUAAAUGAUUUGUAUUUUGUAAGAUAAUGUUAUGAAUUACAAAUUGACAAGUAUUAAAGUGAUUUACUAUGUCUAUGAAUUAUUAUUUUUUUUUUUUUUUAAAUUACUAGUUGACAAAUUAUCUUGAAACCAACCCAAUCUAAAUUCUGUCUUAUUUUUGUAUGUUUUUAUUAAACCUACAACUAAUUAAAUCUAAAAAUAGAUCAAAUCAAAUAUUAGAAUAAUAUUAAGAAUACAGGAAACUCGACAUAACUGUUAUUUAUACGCCCCUAAUAGCAUUCGAGAGAAAUCAAGAAUUCCUAUGAUGUUACUGGUCUGUGGACUUUUUCUUGUCUAACGAAGAAAAUUCCUUGAGUAUAGUGCGAGACUUAAUUCAUUCGUACACCCUAGACACUACCUGGAACUAAAUAAUAGCAUAAGAUAUAGUAAUAUAAUUUGAGUUAAAAUAUAUUUUUUAAACAUUUUAAUUUUGGUAAAAUAAAAAAAAUAAAAAUAACAUCCUUAUGUAGUUUUAAUUUUUGUGAUAAAGUCAACAUAUAUUUUUUAAUAAACUUUUGCAAGCAAAUUUACUACAAUAUCUAACUUUCCUCCACCAAACAUAGCUCCAUAUUCAAUUUCAAAAUUCAUAUGUUUAUUUACUUUUCUCUUUAGUUUUGUACAUUGAAAAACUUUAUAUUUAUUUCAAUCCAAGUUAAAAAAUUAUAAAUGUAUUUGGAGAAAUUUUUUAAAUGUUUAUAUAUAAUUGCAAAAAAUUAUAAAUGUCAUAUUUUAAUUAACAGUAGUAACACAUAACAGAGAGGAUGAUUUUCUAAUACAACACUAAAUAAAAAUUAAAAAUAGAGACAGCACAUACCCAAAAAAAAUAAAGAUAACACUAAAUAAAAAUUAUAGAGAUAUUAUAUUAAAAAGAAAAGGGAGAAAGGGAUCAUUAAUUAAUUGAUCAUAUAUAAGAUGUUUUUCUUCUUUCCUUUUUAUGUUAUUUCUCGAACAAAAUUAAUUCUAUAUAGUUGUUGAAUAUGAAUUAACUCUUUUUUUAGAGAUGCAUUUGAAAUGCGAGUUUUACUUAAGAGCAUCUCCAAAUAUGAACUCAACUCAACAUAAGGUUUUUAGAUGGGUUCACUGUGCCACAUCAUUUUGGAGCAACUCAUCACCUGUUACUCCAACGGUGAACUCAACAUGAGUUCAUUAAAUAGGACCCAAUAACUAUUAUAAAUUUAUUAUUAUUAAUAAAUUAAUAAAUAAAAAAGGUAACAGUUAUAAUUUUAUUAUUAUUAAAUUGUGAAAGUAUCGUUCCUUCCUGAGAGCACCGUGAUGACAGCUUGGUGCAACUCCAACCGUGAACUCGCCAAGAACUGAAAGUUAUGUAAUUUACACGCUGGCGGACGAACUCAUUUGCCUACCGUUGAAUAUGCUCUAAGUCUGUCGUGUUACAACCCUGGUCGUAAACUUCGGUUCGAAGUGAAACAUGUAACAUCCAAGUUAGUGGCUAAGAAAUGUUAACAUAUUAAAAUAGGAAGCAAUUAAGAUAUAUAUAUUAUCCUAAAAAAAGAAAGUUAUCACAAUGAUUUUCAAUACUGCAAUUAUGAUUAAUUAAUUUUAUUAGAAUAAUUAAAAGUAGGUUAGUUGUUGUCUUCCUUGCAUGACGAAGGCGUGCCAGAAUAACUUAUCUGGACGCCCUUAAAUCAAAUGGGUUUUGGACACCCUGCGGCUUCAACACAUUAAUUAUCCCUCACCACCACUUAUUUUAAUUGAUUAUAUAAUUUAUUAACUAAAAGUUACUAAUUUAAUUAAAUCUUAUGUCAGAUCAUCUCAUCUUAUACAUAAAAAAAAGAAUUAAAAAAAUUGAAUUAACGGUAUUUAAUGUAACAUAUCUUCUAUUGAUAUAUAAUAUUAUUUGUAUUUAAAACUAAAAAAAGUGCAAUUUGAAAGUAGUUUCGCAUAUCAUUGUAUUAUUUAUCCAUUAACAUUUCGACCAUAUAUACCCACCACAAAACAUAGACAAACGAACAAAAAGAAUGUGCAUAUUAUUUGUCUUAUUUGAUAAGCUUUUAGGAAUUCCUAAAAAAACCUAAGAAAAGGUGCCGUGACAAAAGCCACUUCCACCCACAAGAAAAAUUCUUGACCUUAUUUUUAUUUUUUAAUAUUUUCUCAUGAAUUUUAUUUUAGCAAAAAUAAAAUUAAAAUAAAUAUUAUUUUUAAUUUUCAAUAUAAAUUUAAUUAUUUUUCUACUUUUAAAACAAUAAUUCCACUUUACUUUUUAGUAAAGAAAGUUUGUAAAAAUAAUUAUUCAAUUUCUUCUAAUUUUGAAUCAUUGUAUUUUUUAAUAUGUCGAUAAAAAUCUUAAACAUUUAUUUGAAAAUGGAAGGUAUAAAUGUUGUUCAAAUUUCUAACAUGUCAUAUGAGAGUUUUAACUUUCAUUAAUUUUCAUUUAUAUAUUCAAAUUCAAAUAGAGGACAGACCAUUGAGUGGAUCCCUUCUCAAGUGAGAGUCUACUUCAAUUAAAAGAAAAACAAAACAAAAAAAGAAACAAGCAAGUUAGUGGAUAAGAUGGGAUUUAACCCGAGUGCGAUAAUACCCUGUCGUGUGCAUUGGGUGAGAGCGUGAGAAUGGAUGUAGAUAUUCUCCACUCUCUAUCCCUUUCAUUAAUUUUUUUUCUCUUAUAUAUUUUCUCUUUCUUCAAUUUUUUAUUCUCUUCAUUUCUCUCCACAAUUUGGUGGAGAAGAUCCAACUAUGUGUAAGAAUAGUGUUACUGCAAUUAAUAGAGUAGCAUACUAAGAAAAGAAUAAUUAAUUGGUACUAGUGGUGGAUGUUGGUUAAGUAAACGUUGUUUGUUUUUGCUGAAAUUUUAGUAUGUCAUUCUUGUCAACGAAUUUGUUAUUCUAAUAACUUUUAGGCUAAAUUAUAUUUUUAUUUUUAGGUUUUACUUUAAUUCCUUAAAGUUUUUUUGGUCACAUAUGUUACAAACGAUAGACAUUUUGGUCCCUUAAGUUAAAAACAUAAAACAUUGGUCUCUUAAGUUAUAAAAAUAAACAAGUUUGAUCACUUAAGUUACAAUGUUAGACACUAUUACAAAAGAUAAAAGUAUAAAAUGUUUGGAACUUAAAGGACUAAAAUGAAACGAAAAUAACUUGAAGACCAAAGUGUCUAACAUUUGUAACUUAAGCAGCCAAAAUGAAAUGAACUAAACUUAAGGGACUAAAGUGAAGCCUAAAUAACUUAAAGGACAAAAAGUGCAAUUUAACCUAAUUUUUAUAAGUAGUUUUGUCUUCUCUAUGAAUCAAUUUGUAAUAGCAACUUUUAUGGAGGUGCUCUAUUAUUGUUUGAUUACUAUCGUUAAGUGAUGAUUUUGGUUUUCUAAUGUUACUUAUUUUUAAGUCUAAACACUCGUGAUUUUUACAUUUACUCUAAGGAGUUUUCCACAUUAAAUUUGAGAAGUCAUAUUCAUAGUUUUUAACUCAUUUAUUGUUAUAAUUACUAGUAUCGGUGUUUCAUUGGUAAUUUUUGAGUUCAUAUUGAAAUAGCAAUGUCAAUCAUAAGAAAAUGGGGGUUUAAGUUGUGAUCCUUUUAAAAUUUUGAUUCAUGUGCUUUAAUUUAAAUUAACUCAAGAUCAAUUUUGGUUGAAACAAAAUGUCCAGAAUAUUCUAGGUAUGCUAGAAGUAAAUGAAACAAAUUAAUGAAGAGUGAUUUGUGUGUGCAAAAAAUUAAAGAUAAGGAAUAGAAAGAUCACACACAAAAAGUAUAUUGGUUCACCCAACUCGAAUUAGUCCAACCCCCACAAUUGUGAGAUUUUCACUAUAUGCUUCAGAACCAAAAUGUUCUCCUUCACACACUUUUUCUUGAUCAUACCUUGAUCAAUUACAAUCUUCAUAUUUCACCCUAGAAAGAAUUUUGACAGUCACCUUUCAAUAUAAAAAUGAUUUUUAAAUGCACAUUCAAUCUAACAUUAAAGAUAGACAUGAGUUACAAAUUUUGUGCAUGAGAAACAUGUUUGGGAUCUUGAAACUUCUUAACACUUGUUUGAGAUGAUUAAUGAUAAACUCAAUAAAUGAUGAUCCACAAAGAUAGUGAAGAGAGCUGGAGUUUGCUUGAAGAAUUUUUGACUUGUUCUUACUUGAACAAGUGUUGGUAUAUUUAUAAAUUGAACUUUUGCCUUAAUUUUCCAAUUGAUCUUCAAUUUAUAGAUGAUAAAAAGAUUUUAAUAUUUAGUUUAAACUGAAUAUAGUCGUUGAACACACUUCUCAAGUGUCAGACCUAUUUUAAAGCAAUUUAAACAUGUGUUUAUAUUAUUGUCCAGUCCAGAACGUUCUUGACAAAUGAAGAACGUUCUUGCUUCUGGGUAUGAUGGAAAAUGUGAAUGAGUGAGUGAUGGAUUGUGAAAUGUUAGUUGGUAUUGUUCUAAAUCAAAAUUAUCCAGAGUUUCUACAGAAUAAUGUAAGUACAAUGUACUUAUGUCGUUGCUCAUAACUCAUCAAUUUGGAGAUAAAUGUUGUAAUCAAUUCAGAGGUUGUUUUCCUCCUUUGGGCAUUCAGCUCGAAUUUUGAGGUUCACCAUUGAUUUCAGCAGUCAGGGUAUUCUUUAAAUUCUGGUUUAGACUGUGAAAAAUUAUUUGUUUUAAUUAUGUCUUUAAAAUAGAAUAUCCAGAAUACUCUUUUGUAAAACUAGAACGUUCUUUGUUUUCUGUUGUAUGGAAAGUGUGGAUGGAUGAUUUGAUAGAUGUUUAAUGUCAGUCCUUUGUCUAAGAAACAUGAUGUACUUUCUGUAAAAAUGUGCAGCAGAAAUAUCCUUAUUGUCCUAGUUGUUAUUACUCAUAGUUCAUCAAUCCAAAUAUUGAACUUGAUGUUGUUUGCUUCUUUGGGACUUUAGCUAGACUUUUUGGGCUUGAGUUUUGUUUCGAGUAGUCUUAACAUGUGUUUAUCUUAAGGUAUGGACUAUGAAAAACAAUUCUUUUUACUUCUGCCCAUAAAUGAAAUAGCUAGAAUGAUCUUGAUAAUAAACCAGAAUGAUCUUUCUUUUUUCACAUUUCUAUUUUUAAUAAACCAAAAUUAUCUUCAUUUUUUAGACUACUGUUUUUUAAUAAAUCAGAAUGAUCUUCGUUUUUCCAUAAUUCUAUUUUUAAUAAACCAGAUGAUAUUCGUUUUUCAUACUGUUGUUUUUUAAUAAACUUGUGUGAUCUUCGUUUUUCUAAUUUAGUUAAGACAUAAUUUGCUUUGAUUUAUAACAUGAUGUGAUCAUUAAUUGUUAUAUGAAUGUAUUUGAUCAUAUUCUUCAUGAAGCUGCUACCUUGAAGAUGUAAAAAUCAUUCUCUUGAAUGAUUGAUAUAUGAUAUAUUAUUUUUUAGAUUCUUUCAUUAUUGAGUAAAUACUUAUGCACUUUGAUGAUAUAAAUGGUUUCUUGCUUGUUCACUUAUGCAAUUCGUGUUUCUUAAAUAAAAUUCAAGUGCAAUCAUUAGUAGAUCACAAUUCAUAAAACUUAAUCAUUUGUUUCGUAAGGUUUAUUAUCAUUAAAAAUUAUAUUAAAAAAGUUUUUACCUCAACACAUAUUCCAUAAGAAAAGUUAAUUUAUGUUUCAAAUAUUAUGUUGUUCGCUUUAGUCCUAAGAGAAACAAAAAAAGGCAUUGAUCUAAGGAUCACUUCUUUGCGUGUUACAUGUUUAUUUCUUCUUAGCUAAUAAUUUUGAGUUUAGAUUUGAAUCUUGAAAAGACAUCAAUAAUUGAAUUCUUAAGAGAGAGUUUUAUAAUUUAUGUAAAUAUUUCAUCCAACUCGAGAAAUUGAUCUAUGAUAUUUUUAUUCAAAAAUAUUUAUAACAUCAAUCAUAUAUAUAAUUGAAUUUAUUCUAAUAUCCUUAUUUCGUUUGUUGACAUCUAUUCAAAAUUAAGAACAUAAUAGUCCAACACAUCUCUUUAUCUAUUAUUCUAUCUAUUAAUUGCUUUGACACAUUUCUUUAUCUAUCACAUUGUCUUUUAAUCAAUAAACUAUUUGUUUUAUCUCCCUUUUUGCCUCCUUUUUUCAUUACAUUUAUCCGUUUCAAAUAUUUCUCACUGACACUCACAAAAAAGACGGAAGAAAUAUUUUCUAUUGAUACUUAAAAAAAAAUGGGACACAUAUUUGUUAUCAAUAAAUAUAUAAAAGCACGAGAUACAUAUUUUUUAUUUGUCUUAAAUAUAUAAAAAAUAUGAGACAUAUAUUAUUCACUGAUAAAUAUUUUUAAAAACAUGAAAAAAAAACAUUUAAAAUCAAUAAAUUUUAAAUAAAUAAAAAACAUGACAAAUAUUUGUCAUUACAGAAUAAAUAUUUGUCACAUAUGCAUAUAUAAAAGCAUAAGAUAAAUAUUUAUAUGCGAUAAAUAAAUAAAUUACAUGACGCAUAUAGGUUAUUGAUAUAUAUAUAUAAAAACAUGACACAUAUUUAUAAUUGAUAAAUAUAAAAAAAUAUGAAAAACAAUAUUUGUAUUUGAUAAUCGAUAAAUAUAAAAAUAUGAGUCAAAUAUUUGUCAUUGGUAUAUAAAAACAACAUUUGACGAAUAUUUUGUCACAUAUGUAUACAAAAAAUACAUGAUAAAUAUUUAUUACUGAUAAAUAUAAAAAUAUAUGACAAAUAUAAGUUAUUGAUACAUUAAAAAAAAACAUUGAAUGCAUAUUUAACAAUGGUAAAUAUAAACAUAAACAAAUUAAACAUAAAAAUACUUACAAUAUUUACAUAUAUCCAUAAUUAUCCAUUUUACUACUUCUAAUAUAUGUUGGGCUGAGAAAAUUCACCUUGAAUAUUCUACAAUAUUUUUAUAAAGACUAGUCACUACUCAAUUACAUUUAUUUUAUUUUAUUUUUUUGAUAAAAAAGGAAAUGGUAUUGAUUUUAUUCAUAUUGGUAGAAUACAUUAGUUACAAACACAAAUUAAUCAUCUUAAAAAAUAAAAAGGAUAAAUUUAUGAAUAAAUUCACAAUGCUUAAGUUAAUAGCAUAAAACGACACAAUAUAUAAUGUGAUAAAAUUCAAGUGGUCGGAAUAUCCAUGCAUUUGGAUAUGUGAUGACCUAGUUGAAUCAAACAAACACCGCAACAACGAAAAGUUAAACAAGGGUGAUUCGGGGUCAAAAAAUUAUUCAAUGCCACACUUCUUUCCGAUGAAUGAAGAAAAGAAAACUUAGAGAAAAUGUGAAGUUUGUCUCUCAAAAAGAUUAGGACCGACCUGACCUGAGAUGACUAAACUACUAUAGAUAUUUAAUACUUAUAACACGAUUAUUAUUAAUAAUAAUAAUAAUAAUAAUAAUAAUAAUAAUAAUAAUAAUAAUAAUAAUAAUAAUAAAAACUAGAAUUCUCCGUCUAUUCAAAAUCUUAUAUACAAGAACAUUUUUGUACAAAAUUCAUAUAUGGUGUUUAUACGUUGGUUUACUUAAUCGUGAUAGUUUACAAGACUUUUAGGGUAACUUCGGUGACAUAAUUGAAAAAUAUAUAGAAAUAUAUUUCCAAGGCAUAUGGAGAGGAACAUCUUUUUUUUACUUUUUUUUUCAAAAAAUUGUAAAGGAAAUAUAAUUAAUGAAAAAUUACUGAAUUUUACGCUUGCAUUCGCAAAACCUCCACGCAUAAACAAAUAAAUUAGAAUCACCUAAGACCAAAAACAAAUAUAGAAUCGCCAACAAUUAUUGUAAGCCUCGAUUGAUCACGAUUCUUUAUAGUAAGCAGUGAUGCAUAUAACAUAUCUCAUGCUGACUAAUUUUAUUAUGGGACCAAAAUAGUCGGUCCUCUUUACAGAUCAGUAAUUGGAUUAGAAAUACAGAGUGGCCUUAAUUUUCCAACCACUCUCUUGACAUGGACUGGUAAAUAAUAAUAUUUCCUUCCUUUAUAAAUAUAAAAUUUUAUUAAUCAUGAUAAUUUAAUUAAGAAAGUGGAUUAUAACAUAAAUUUAUUAGAAAAUGAUAUUAUUUUCUUAAUUUAUAUUUAAAGGGAGAGAAAAAAUUAAUUAAUAUUUUUUAUAAUAAUAUUUAUUAUUAAUUAUAAAAAAGGACACAAAUUAAUUAUUAGUAUGUUGAAAAAAAUAAUUGAUGUCGUUGAAAAUUCAACCAAAUUAUUAAAAGAAAAAAAAAACUCAACACAAUCUUAAGUUUAAGGAUAGUUUUAACACAAUUAAAUUAUUUAAUUAUUUUAUAUAAAUAAAAAAUAAAGUAAUCUAACUUUCUUGUUGAAUAUUAAUACAUUAUUAAUAUAAUAAAUAUAUAAAAAUAAAUAUUAUAUUUUAAAUAGUGGAAAUCAAAAAUUGAAAUAAUUAAUUAUUUUAGGAUAAUAUUUUUUUGAAAAUGGAUGAAUUGUUUUUGAACCAUUAUUAUAUGUUUGUGAAUAUUGUGAUGUGAAAUUUGGGGUGAAAAAUAAUUAGGAAUUUUAAUCACUUCCAGAGGCAUCUCGAUCUCAUCAUGAAAUUAUAAUGCGGAUAUAUUAUUCGAUAAUGAGUAUGAUGACUGAUUUGUGAUCGUCAUUAAAAUGUAGACUUUUUCGAAUACAGAGUGUGAAUGUUAUGGCUGAGAGAGCACCAUGUGUUUAUUAUAGAGUAUUAAGUGAUGGAUAAAUAUAAUUAUAUUUUUUUUAGACGGUGUUACAUGACAAUGACUACUUGCACUGGACGGUGGCUGCCUUCAAAGUUAUGAGAUUUUAUAUUGAAUUCAUGAUCUUAAUUUUGCACUUUAGUAAUGGUUGAUAGUGCUCAUUCAAACAAAAAUAAGUUAUCUGAAUUUGAGUUUAUUAUUCAAUUUUAAACUUAAGAGAUAAAAUAAAUGUUAUUGUCGAUACUUUGGUUAAGAUAGUCACAUAUUUAUCUGGUCUCAUAUUUUUUAUUAUCUCUAUUAAGUUGAAUUUUGAAUUAUAUUUUAAGGAAAGAGUAAAUUAUUAAAUUUGUUUAUGAACUUAUAGUAUUUUUAAAUGGGUAUAUGAGAUUACACAUAUUUCAAAAAUAUUUUUAAAUAUAUUAAAUAAUAUUCAUAUGAGUUAUAUCUCAAUAAAUAUGUACAAUUAAUCACUUAAUAUCAAUUAAGAUCGAAUAUAUUAAUUUUUUAUUAUUAAUUUGAUCUCUAAAAUUAUUAUUGAAUUCGUGAAUGAAACAAAAUUGAUCAUUGACAAAAAGAAUGAUGAAUAAAAUGUAACAUAAUUAAAAAUAUGUUGGAAUAUUCACAGUAGCAUAAACUUAUUUGAGAGAGUGUUAUAAAAUGACAAAGUUGUUGGCUUGUUAAAAAAUAAUAUGAAUUGUUUUUAAUCCAAAGAACAAAGAUUUUGCACUUAGUAACAUUGUCAUUAGGGUGAGAAUAGGUCAGAUCAUGUCAGACUUUGAAAGAUAUGAUUUUGGCCAACGAUUAAUUUUGUAGAUAUAAGUCUGGCAUACGGCUUAUCCUAGGUUUUUUUUUUUUUUUGCCUUUUUAAAAGUAUGGUCUAGCUUGAAAGUCUAUUUAAAAGUCUUAUUCACAUUAAAAUAUUUAAAUGUUAUAUUUUAUAUUCUUUUUAAAUAGACUAAAUUAUGGUUUUAUAUAAAAGAUAAAUUAAUAAAAUUAUAAUCAAAUCUAAUAAAAUAAUAAGUAACAAGUAUGCAAUGCAACAACCUUCCAAGAAAAUAAAAAAAAUAAAAUGAAUCCAUAAUUAGUCCUUAUACACAUAUCAAACUACAUGUUCUAUCCAUACCAAUUUACAUGAUCCUCUUCACGUAUCAAUACUAAUGUACAUAUCUAUAUAUAUUAAACAAAAAAUGAUUUAUCUUACAAAAUGAUUUUAAAAAUAUCUGAAACAAACACAUUUUAAACUCUAAAAAAUGAUUUUUUAUUUCAAAGAAUAUAUUUUUUCUGAAACAAAUGUACUCAUUAUUACGUCUCAAACAAAUAUGAAACGACUACUGAGUGAUUGCUUAAUUGAACGGCUACCGAAUAUGGAACCACUACCAAAUAUGAAAUCAUUGACGAAUAUAAAACGGCUACCGAAUAUGGAACGACUACUGAGUUAUUGCCUAAUUGAUAUAAUUUAAAAUAGAAAAUAAUAUUAUUAAUAAAUAAUAAAAUUUAUAUAGGUCGACAAGUUAAAUAGAUUCUUUUUAGCUUAAUAUUUUUAUUAAAUAGGUCACGUCAGAUCAAUCCAUAAAUAAAUCAGGUCAUAGACUUUUGACGGACGAUGUAGUCUAUUUCCAUCCAUGAUUGCCAUAUGGCUAAUGAAUCGGGCGUGUGCUUUUGUAAAAGGCAAAUUGUUUGUUGAGUAACCAAUACAUGACUCGCAAAUUAGAACGCAUGAAAUAAAAGCUCAUACAUUGAUGUGAUUAACAGCGCACUUGCAUAUUUGUAUGUUUUCAUAAUACUAUACAGUGACAGUUCUUAGAGACGAAGAAUGGGUCGCCAUGGAUUUUUUAUUAUUAGUUAGUGUUUGUCAAGGCAAUUUCACUACAGUACACGAAAGUAAUGGGUAUUGAACACAAUCAUUUGUAUUCUUGGGCUUAUACGACUAUAUUGUCCAAGCAUGCCAUAGUAAAAUAUGAAUUUUCUAUUCUGCACCCCUCUUUUUAUACUUGUCAUUCUCCCGAAAUCAUCUUAGCUUUUAAAUUUUUCAAAAUAUUUGAAACUAAAAAGUAAGUGAUAUUUUUAAAAUUUCGAAACUUUCGAUAUAGAAAGUUUUUAGAUUUUUCAAAAUUCUCGAAAGUUUCAAAGUUUCGAAAUAGAACAAUUCGAAACUUUUGAAAUGGAAAAUUUUCAAAUUAUUCGAAACUUUUGAAAGUUAUGAAAUUUUCUAAUUUUUUCCAAUUUUUUAAUUAUUGAUAUAAUAAUUAUGUUAACUUAAUAUUACAGUGCCUAAAACCAGAGGUAGGAAAUUAUUCGUAUUAUCGCCAGAGGUGUUGGGGGCGAUAGAGGUUGUAGAGGCGAUAUAGCCGAUAAAGUUCCACUCACGACAUCAUAUUAACAAAUGAAUGAAGCAAAUCGUCAACAUCGUCGUAGACAUGGUUUUAGAUUUCAUUACCUUGGCGAGGAUGUUUAUGAGUCUGAACAAGAUGCUCAUGAGCAUGAACAGAUGGAUUACGAGGAACUGGAGUAGCAGUACGUUGAAGACAUCGAAUACCAGGUUCAGCAGCCCGGAUUCCUCGGAGGACCAUUGACGACAUUCGUGUUGACACAGUAUGAACAUCAUGUGGCUCGUACGAUAUAGGAAGGAGAGAGAGAUUUUAAUUAAUUAAUUUUUUAGUACAUUUUUUCAAUGAAAUUAUAUUUAGUACAGUUUUUCAAUGAAAUUUAGUAAAUGAUUUUAUUGUUAUGUUUUUUAAUUACUCGUAGGAUUGUGACCCGUUGAAGGAGGUCACACAUGUACGAGAUGUUGUACAAUAUUAGAUUUAAGAAUAUGGACUAGUACAUUUUUAUUCAGCUUAUUUGACGAUGGAUGAUGUUGGUCUGAUAUCUGCAUUUGUAUAAUUAAUUUCUAUUAUGAUAUCAAUAUUUUGUGUGAUCUAUGCCAUAAGUAAAUGAUUAAAAGUUCAACUUUAACUUGAUACCAAAAAAUAAAUACAAUUGUUUAAAAACAUCUCACAUAUGUACCAAUCUUCAUCCACUUAUCUUUUUCUUAAGCACACAUACUAGAAAUCUUCAAUGAGUUUCGUACUGUUUCAACGAUGUCAUCGAAUACAGGAAUAAAUAUCUUGAUGUAGAUUGAUCUCUUUAUCCAAAUUUGUUCGAACUAAAUGCCAAGAUUCUUCGGUCUAACCUAAUAAUAUUGCAAUUGCGCGAUAACCACAAUUUCCAUCAAGCACAACAUCUAUACUGUCCUCAAUAUAUUGAUGAAUAAAAAUAGAAAAAUGUAUCUUAGAUGGUUGCUUUGCAAAUUCUUAAGAUGGUUGCCUUGCAAAACGCUAAGAUGAUAAAUUUGCAAAACUCUAAUAUGGUUGCUUUGAAGAUUCUUGAGAUGGUUGUUUUGCAGAAUAUUGAAAUGGUUGUUUUAGAGAUCCAUGAGAGGCAUCGAUAUAGUCCCUAUAUGAAGGAUCACGAGGAGCUUCAAAAAAAAUUCUCUUCAUAUGACAAUCGUUCUUAGAGGUUUGAUGAACAUAUGCAAUGAUCCAAGUUGUAUCUGAAUUGAAAAAUUGCAUUGUUUCACAGUUGUAUUCGACUACAGCAUGAGUGUAGUCGAAUACACCUCUAUAACAUUCAGUUUUAUUUGAAAAUUUUAACCUUGUAUUCGAAUACAACACAUUGUAGUCGAAUACAAAUGAUUGAAUUUUGCCACUGGCUUGGUUUUGUAUUCGAGUACACUAUGUUGUAGUCGAAUACAAAAGUGCAGUUUUAGCUACUGACUUAAGAUUCGUAUUCGGCUACACUAUCUCGUAGUCAAAUACAUAUAUUCAGUUUUUGCUACUAACUUGAAUCUGUAUUUUGCUACAAUAUAUUGUAGUCGAAUACAACUUAGAUUUUUGUCAAAAACUUGAUUUUCAAACAUUAUUCAUUCGUUUUGACAUUUUGAAAAUUCUUUUGAUACAAAUGCUAAAAUGAAAGGUUCUUGUGUGCAUUUGAAAUAUAAUAAUAUUAGAUUGCAUCAUGUACCUUAUUAUAAGACUUAUAGCAUAUUGAUCAUAAUUGACUUUAUAGUUGACUUCUUUUUUAGUUUGCAACUUGAUCAUUUUCCUUGGUCUUUGUCUUCAUAAAAAACAUAAGUGUUUUACAAAAAGUACUUGUUGGAUAUUGUAUUCCCUAAAUGCAUCAAAUUGUGACCCAUCAAAUUGGAUAUUGUAUUCCACAAAUCUUUAACAUAAUCAACAGAAAGGAUAAUAUCGUCACACACUAGCUCAAAUUGUUGCAAGUGAUUAUCAUACUCCUCCACACUAGUUAAAAAUACAUUUUUUUUCCUUAAAUCCAUUACCAGAUCUUGUUUAUCCUUUUUCACAUAUUGUUUGCAUUUUACCCUCAACAUUUUUUCAAUAUGAAAACGAUAUAGCAAAUUAAUUGAAGUAGGAAUUAAAUUCAAUUGUCUUAUAUACGAACAAUUGUCUUAUAUCGGUCACAAUAACUUUAGAAAUUAAAUUCACAUAUACAAACAAUUGUCUUAGCUUUUCGAAUGCCCUUGUUUUAAGUAAGCAAAUGCAACAAAAAAAGGUCAACUUAGUAGAUGUACACCGACAAUUUCAAGUAAUGGUAGCCGAUAUCUAUUUGUUUUGUAUGUGUUAUCACAUAUCAAAACAAAAUGAAAAAUGUUCAACAACUUUAUACAAUCAAGAUGCGUUCAAAAUAUGUCUCUCAGAACAUCUAAAUCAUCUCAUGCACAUAAUUUUCAUUUUGUAUUAACUUCAAGUGAUGAUGCACUUUUAUGUACGAACCUCUCAAAUAUGAUCGAUAAGUACUCCUUGUUUUAUAUAUUUGAGUGGAAAUUGUGAGAUUCUAUUUAUUUCUCUCUUUCAAAGCAUUCAAAAUGAAUUUUGGUGCAAACUUAUAUUUUGUCAUGUCAUUAACAAUUUUUUUUCAUCUUCAUUUAAACGCCUCAAAUAUGAAUGUUCAUUUAAAGUAUCCACUAAAUCAUGAUGGUGUAUUCCGCAACAAACACUAAUUUUUUAUCUUUUACCGAUACUAUACAUUUGUGUUUGAAUCGAAUGGUGAGUAUACAUUUGAGUUUGAAUCGAAUGGUGAGAAUUACUAUUCCAUUUUGCCUUCCAAUAAUUUUUACUUUAAUCUGCAUCUCAAGAGAAAAAUAUCUACAAAAUAUAUUUCAAAUAAAAAUCAUUAUGUCUAUACAUUAAAAAAUUAUAAAAUCAAUUGUAGAUUAUCCAAUCAAUUCUAAAGUUAUCUAUAUAAUCAAUAUUGUAGCAAAAACUUCACUAUCAACGGUAUUCAUAUCUAAUUUAAAAAAUAUACUAAAUAUAAUUAAUACUUAUAUUAUAAAUACAAUAUUUGUGAUAAAAAAAUUUAACUAAUUUUAAAAAAUAUUAGUGCAUUUCAAAACUUUCAGCAAAACUAAAAAUUGGAAAUGUUUCGAAAUGUAACUUUUUUUCAAAAAGUUGAUUUCUAAAAGAAAAUCGAUUUCUAAAACAUAAAAAAAGUUACUUGUUUCGAAACAUUGAAGUUUCAAAAAAAUCUAAAUAAAUUUACUUCAAAAUUUUAAAAUUGAUCUAAAACACGGCAAAGAAACUGUAAUAACUCAUUUGACACUUUUACCCUAGGAAACAAAUAAACCAUUACAGGUUUCAACUUUAUCGGUUUAAAUUCAGUUAGAGUAAUAAUUUUAUAACACGUGUACGAGUAAAUACAUUUUAAAUUUAACAUAUAGCGUUUAUGUGAAAGAAAUAAUUAAUUAAACUGUUAAUUUAAUUAAAAUAGGUGUAAUUAAUUAAUGUAUUAGAUUUUAUAGGUUAAAGAUAUAUUUGUAAAUCUAAAUAUAAUCAUAUUUCUCUCUUCUUCCUUUCUAUUCAAUCAAGCAAGAGACAAGGGAGAGAACAUAUGUAUUUGAUCUCUAUUUCUUCUCUCUUUAUCCUUCUACCAAACAAUACAUCAGAACUAUUAUGUCCUAUUAUCUCUUUCUCAACUUUUUCUUUCUUCUCCCUACCAAAAACACCCUUAGAGAGGUACCUUCACAGCUAAAAAACAACAUAUACUUCAUUCAAUCUUGUGGAAUACAACAUAUACUUGGGAUGUCACUCCAUUAUAGAAUAAAAAAACACAUAAGAAACCAGGCAUAGGAUUAUUAAGAAGCCGUGAAAGAGAAAGGCAAUAACUGAUUUCCAUCAAAUAAUUCACAACCGGGAAACCAAACAUAUCCCACAUUGCGAACUCAAAUGAGCAUCCGAAAAUAAACCGAGAGAAAACUAGAAAACUACACUACAAAUGGGGGCAUGAUGUAAACUGGUAAAUGAACGUGGAUGAUGUUCAGAAACAAGAACAGACACAAAGGUGUGGAAUUGCGAUUCUAAUUGAAACUUCCAAAUAACUUAACCAUAAAUGAUAAAAAUGCAAAUGACUAGAAGGGUUGAUUAGUUCAGAUGCAUGUUUGGAGACAAUUUGUGAAUAAACAAUCAUCACUAUUAAAAACACAAAUAGAAAAACAUAGAUGCUUAAUUUGUAGAAAACCACAACAUAGAAAUGGAACAGUCUUCUUUUUUAUGUUAGUCAUUCCAAACAGGCAGAUACACCUGUUAAGAAGCCUAACCAAAAAAACAGAAAAACAAAUCUACUAAAUAUACAUUUAUUAUGUUUGCAUUCAUUAAAAGUAUUAGUACAGAAAGUCAUAAUGUUUGCAUUCAUUAUAUAUAUUAGUGAAAAAUAUGUAUGAAAUUCACAAACAUGGGUGGAGAGAGUUAUGGUCAGUUUCAAAAACCACUUUUAAUCAAGAAUAAAGAAGUAAAUACAAGUAAGAAACAGUUAAAAGAGUUGCACAUAACCUAAAUUUCAUUAUCUCUCAACCAUUACUAGAUGGAAACAAUGUACAAUGUUCAACAUUUUGAUGAUUAUCCAAAAGAGUCAUUUCAAAAACAGAUAAUAGGCUUUAAACAAAGAAUUAUAACUAUCAUAUACAUGAAAUUUCAUUAUCUCUCAGACAUUACCUAAUAAUGUUCAUUCCUAAUAAAUUCAAGAGAAUAAAUACAUAUGAGAUUGCAACAAUGUACAAUGUUUAACAUACUGAUGAUUGUGCAAAAAGGUUAUUUAAAAACAAUUAAUAGGUUUUAAACAGACAUUGUCAACCAUUGAGACAAGGUCUAAAUCAAGAAUAAUGACAAAUAUAAACAAAAAGUACCAUCCAACAAGCUAACCCUUGAUAGACAAAUCUACAAACAUAAACAAAAAGUUAAUCCAAUAUGACAAAUACCGCAUCCUUUAAAUGUUGUACAUUGUUAAGUAGUAUAAAGUGGAUGUCAGUCCCCUAAAGACCAUUGGUAAUAUUUUCAACUUAAAAGUCAGUGUGAGAUUAAAAUUAUCAACAAGUGCUACAUAAGUAAAUCACAAAAACCACACAACCAUUAGGAAGGAAGAGUUGGAAUAUUAGCAGAAUCAAGUAGUUACAUUAUACCUAUAAUUCUCUGAACACAAACAAUACCUAAACUCUAAAAUGAACACCAAUUCAACCAGAAAAUAUAGUGAAAUUCAAGAUACCAAAAACACAACAGAAAAACCAAACUAAUAUAGUCAUUACUAAAAUUCAAUGACAAAAUUAUAUAGAAAUAUCAUAGCAAAUGUCGUAAUCAUAAUUAAUAACUAAGAUGGUAAAAUCUCUCAAAAUGAUCUAAAUUAUCCAAAACAGUAAACAAACAACAAAAACGUUCAAUAGUUCCUCAAAUUAAUAUAAAUAAAAAACACAGAUCAAACAAAAGAGUCAGGAAAAACAUAAACCUCCUCAAUCCUGAGGGAUUUCAACAUCACCAUCAUUAAUCUCCUGCUGCAAAUCCUUAGGAUCCUUUCCAUCGACAGUGCAACCAACAGAAACACAAGUUCCAAGAAUCUCCUUCACCGUUCCAGAAAGCUCCUUCGCCAUAGACCUCGGCCUCAUAAUCCUAGCGAUCUCAAUGACAUCAUCAAGGGAGAUGUUUCCAUUAUGCUUGAUGUUCUUCGUCUUCUUCCUGUCACGUUCGGGUUCCUUCAAAGACUUGAUUACAAGUGCCGCAGCGGAUGGAACAACAGCGACCUUAGCCUGACGAUUCUGAACAGUAAGCUUGACGGUAACCCUAAGACCCUUCCAGUCCUUUGCGGUUUCCUUAGCGAUGUCUUCUCCGAUUUUUUUGGGGGAGAGACCGAGAGGACCGAUCUUUGGAGCGAGUGAACUCGCUGCUCCGACUUCGCCUCCGGUGACUCGGACGCAAACUUCGACGACCUGUGAGGGAUCGAAUUUUGGCGGCAUUGUGACGAUUAACAGAGGGAUUAGGGUUUCAGAAGGCGAGCGCAGCAGCUUAGUGAAACUGAAAAUGAAAAGAAUAUAAAAUAUAUAUUGAAACGUUUAGGGUUUUUGCUCUUGUUCAAUGUGAUCUAAUGACUAAUUUACCCCCAUUUUUUAUUGGGCCUUUUGCUGUUUUUUUUGGGCAAACCCAUAAAAAAACUCCUUGACUAAUUUACCCCCAUUGUUUUAUUGGGCUUUGCUGUUUUUUAUAGGCAAACCCAUAAAAAAACUCUUACACCUAUGGUAUACAGCCCCACCUUUCCCGGACUAAUAUCUAAGAUCUAAUCUUUAUAGGUAUAUAUAAAUCCGCGAACUUAAAUUAAUUCAACUCAUUCAAAUUUAGGUCUAACUCGAAAUAAUUCAUUGAAAUUUAAUUAUAUUCGGCUCGAGUAAUAAAUUUAAUAUUUUAAACCACAAACUCAGUUCAUUGACGUGUAAUAUAUAUUUUUGUUUUUAUUUGUAUUAUUGAUGUAUAGUUAAAAUUUAAUUGUUGAACUAUGUUUGAGAACUUGUUGCUAAUUUAAUUAAUUUAAGUGUUUGUGGAUUGUUUUAAGUAUUGAAUGAUAUAUUUUGAUAUAGUUUUAUUAUUUUUUAGAUGUUAAAGUAUUUAAAUUUGAUUAUAUUUUUUAAAAUGAAAAAAUAAUAAUAUUUUUCUUUAUUAAUCGAGAACUCAACCCAGUUAUAAUCAGGUUAGUUUGGUUCAGUUCGAUGGAAAAGUCAUGAAUUGAGAGCUCAAUCCAACCCAAAUAAAAUUAAUUGAAUAUCGGAUUUGACCAAAAUUGCAUAUGGUUGUCCAAAACUAAAUACAACUUAGAUGAAAGCAUCAAGAGACAAAGUUAAAUUGGUUGCAAAGGGUUUCAUAGAACAAUUGGGUAUUGAUUUUUUACACACAUUCUCCCUUGUCGAAAAAAUUACAACAAUUUGUGGGUUCUUCUUACUUUGUCAACCAAGCAUAACUAGCAUUUAUUUCAACUGGACAUCUAUAAUGCAUUUUCGAAUGACAACCUUGAUAAGAAGGUCUACAUGAAAUUAUCUAUGGGGUAUCCCAUUGAAGGGGAGACUCGAUAUCUUUACUGCAAACUCAACAAGUCCUUAUACGACUUGAAAUAUUUAUUUGGAUUGAAGGUUGACAUCAUCAAAAGGCAUAUACAUUUGCCAAAGAAAAUAUACACUUCAACUUUAGCAAAAUAAUAUAUUUCACCAAAAUAAAUAACAAGGAUGGUAUGUGACACCUCUAAUCGAAGGCGUAUUCCAGUGUGUCUGACACUGACACUAACACCGCCAUCUUCGUUACAAUUAUUAUAUGUGCUAGUAUGAUUUAAAAAUUAGUCUAAUGUGAGUUUUUUUUUUUAUCUUCAUAGUGUGUAAUAGAUAUUUGAUAAGGACGUAAUGGCAAAAUAGUUAAGUAAUGUGAAGGAUUCAAUGAAUCCCUGGAGAUGCUAUGACUCUCAUUACUCAUUAUUGCACUUGGACAAUACUUGAUCUCUCUUAUUGUAGUUGCUAAUGCGAAGUGUACUCAAUUUCAUUGUCUUGUGGCUUUUUUUAACAAGCCUAGUAUUCUAGCUAUUUCUUACAUUUGUUCUGUCUUUCAAUACAACAUAAAGCUUAUUGCUGCUAAUCCAUUUUUAUGAACCUAAACAACUGUAUAAAAAUCAAUAGAUUCUCUUAUUGUUGAAAAAAUAGUGGCUGCAUAUUAGUAGCUCCCAAUCAGUGUGACUGUGUCUCAAGCUCUUAGGAAUAACACUUUGACAGAUAUCAAUAUCUUCCUUCUGGUACAACAAAAAAAAAAAUCAUAAUUAAUCUCAAUAUGGUGAUAGUGAUAAACAUAAAAUACUCAAUAUGCAAGUACAUUAACGUGAAAACGGUACAUAAUGUCCCAUUGUAUAUAGAGUUGUGAAAAUAAUCCGAUUAUGAACUCAUAUUCAUAUCCGUUGUUGAUCCAUGUUUAUUUAAUAUUCUUUUAGCAGAAGACAAAACAGUUAUAUUGUUGAUACAUGUUUCUUAUUUUAAUUUUGUGAAAAUAACCAAUUUUUAAAUUAUGAAUAAUCAAUUUUUUUAAAAUAACUAAUAAUUAAACUAUGAAUAAUCGAUUUUUUUUUUAAAUAAUCAAUUUUUUUUAAAUAACCAAUUUUUAAACUAUGAAAAUCAAAUUAAACUAUUAAAAAGAAAUUAAAUUUUAAUCGAUUUUAAAAUUGUAUUUAUUGAAAAUCAGUUGCAUAAUUAGAAAUUGAUUAUUUAAUUAUAAUCGAAUUUACAAUCGAUUUUGUAACGGUUUUAAAUCAAAAAAUAACCUAUGUCUUGUACUUGGAAUUGAUAUGGUAGGAUUAGGUGUUCAUGAGCAAAAAUCGAACUCAUCCAUUGGACACGAUAAUACUUUGGUGAAAUUCUUAAAAAUUACUUUCAAAUCAAAUUUCGUGCACUUCUGAACUAAUUUGAAACUGAUUUAUAAAUAUAAACAUGUUUAAUAUUUUGAACAAAUUUUUAGUUAAAAUUUGAAAUUGAUUUUGAAAUUCUUUUGACAAAAAAAUAUCGAUUUAUUUUUGAGAAAAAUAUUUGUAAAAAAAUUUUCGAUAAAAUUUUCUUUUGAAAUUUUUUGUUUGUUUUUUUAAAAAAAUAUAGAUAUAAAAAAAUUUCAACAAAAAAUUUUCGGUUGUUUUUCAAAAAAAUAUUUCAGAUUUUUUUUUUCCCGAAAAUAUAUUUCUAUAUUAUUUUUCGAGAAAAAUAAAUUUCAAAAAUUUUCUAAGAAAAUAAACCUUAAUUGAAGUUAAAAAGUUUUAAAAUAGUUAAAUUGGUUUUUGAAUUAAGUUUGAUAAACUUAUUUAUUUUAAAUAUGUGAUUCGAUUUUUAAACUAUGAAUAAAUGAUUUUUAAAAAGAAUAUUAAAAAGAAAUUAAAUUUUAAUCAAUUUUAAAAUUGUAUUUAUUGAAAAUCAAUUGCAUAAUUAGAAAUCGAUUAUUUAAUUAUAAUCGAAUUUACAAUCAAUUUUGUAACGGUUUUAAAUCAAAAAAUAACCUAUGUCUUGUACUUGGAAUUGGUAUGGUAGGAUUAGAUGUUCAUGAGCAAAAAUUGAACUCCUUGGACACGUUAAUAGUUUGGUGAAAUUCUUAAAAAUCACUUUCAAAUCAAAUUUCGUGCACUUUUGAACUAAUUUAAAAUUGAUUUAUAAAUAUAAACAUGUUUAAUAUUUUGAACUACUAAAAAUUUGAAAUUGAUUUUGAAAUUCUUUUGACAAAAAAAUAUCGAUUUAUGUUUGAGAAAAAUAUAUGUAAAAAAAUUUAGAUAAAAUUUGAUUUUGAAAUUUUUUGUUUGUUUUUUUCAAAAAAUAUAGAUAUAAAAAUAUCUCAAUAAAAAAAAUUUCAACAAAAGAAUUUCAAUUGUUUUUCAAAAAAAAUAUUUCAGAUUUUUUUUCCCGAAAAAAUAUUUCUAUAUUAUUUUUUGAGAAAAAUAAAUUUUAAAAAUUUUCUAAGAAAAUAAAUCUUAAUUGAAGUUAAAAAGUUUUAAAAUAGUUAAACUGAUUUUUGAAUUAAGUUUGAUAAACUUAUUUGUUUUAAAUAUGUGAUUUGAUUUAUAAACCAUUUAAAUGGUGUGAUUUUUUUUUAAUGUAAUACAAUUCAAUUUAUCAAAUCCAAUUAACAAUAUAUUUAGACAUCCCUAAAUAGAAUAAAAGGUAGUCUUCAUAUAAAACCUUAAACAACAAUGAUUAGAUCUCUUAAAGGCGUGAUUAACAGUCUUAAGUGCAUUUUGGAAUAAAAUAUCUCUUAAAUCCUCCUUUGUGAUGCUAAUUUAUGCCCACGGUUGCAAACUUGUGAUUAUGAUGUUGGAUAAAAAAUGUCCCAACAUACACGUCAAAUAAAUUGGGUUUAAUUGCAGUUUUGGUUUUUCUUUUAAAAAUUUAUAAUUUUAGCCCCUCUAUCAUAUUUUUGAACUAAUUCAAGUUGGAUGAAUCAGUAUACUUUUCGUAUGUGAUUUUUUUAUCUCUUAUGUUUAAUUAUUUUUACAGACAAAUCACACUUUAUUAUUAUUAUUUUUAUUUACAACUUCUUAACUUUAUAUAAACUGUCAAGAACAUUUUAAUCAGUUAAGAUAUUAUUAAUCAUCUUUUAAUUACCAAGUUUAAUCUUGAGUAAAACAUAAAUUAAAUGCAUGACCUGAAUUUUAAAAUAGUCACAAUUCAAACUCCGAAUAUUAUAAUCCUACAUAUUUAUCCUAGUAUUUUUUUAUGUGAAUUACAUAGUUUUUAACAACAUCAAAAAAAAUCAAUCUCUAUUUCAUUGACAAUCUUUCAACACAAAAUUGUAUUUGAAAAUCCCGGUUCUCUAUAUUUUUCCAAGUUUUUAAUAAAAUAUUUACUAGUUAAAAACCUACAUCAAUACACAUGUCUUCUUUUAGUAAAUUUUUGCAAAAAUAUUUUUCUAUAUAAUCAAUGUUUUAUACAAUUAAAUUAAAAUAAGAAUAAAAAAAACUAUUAUUACUAUAAUAGAAAUAGAAUGAGAUAAAUGAAUAGUAAAAAAUUUGAUCGAUUAGCAUAGACUUGCCCUGUGAUAUUUUUUUGAAUUGAUUAUAUAUUAAAAAGACAAAAAAACUAUAAAAUUUAAAUUGAAUUUGAAUACUUUAACAUAAAAUUCUUUUACAUGACACUUUUUUUUUUUAAAUUCUUAAUUUUUUAACUAUAUAUAUAUAUAUAUAUAUAUAUAUAUAUAUAUAUAUAUAUAUUAUACAUUUUUUUUUNNNNNNNNNNUUAAUUUGCACUUUUUUUUUUUAAAUUUUUAAUUUUUUAUCUAUAUAUAUAUAUAUAUAUAUAUAUAUAUAUAUAUAUAUAUAUUAUACACUUUUUUUUAAUCAUUUUACUAAAUAAUAUUUAUAUUAAUUUUGGAAUUCUUUUGCAUAUUAUAGUGCAAAUAUAAAAUCAAAGAUCAAACAUGAGUAUUCUUGAAGCUUGAUUGAGAAUUUAGUUUUGAAAUUUAUCAAUAAUUUAAAAUUUUACUUUUAAGUUAAAAAUUUAACUGUUACAAAAUUUAAUUAAAAAAUAAUAAAUAAAACAUAAUUUAAUUUUCAUUAUAAAAUCAAUCAAUUGUAUAUAUUUUAUAUUAUUUUAAUAUAAUUCAUUAUGCAUACAUAAAUAAAGUUAUUUUAUAAUUAUUUAAAUUAUACAUAUAUCAUACGAAUAUAUUCUCUUUCAUUCUUCAUGUAUUAAAUGAGUUUUAGAAUCACAUUUGUAAUGUGAUAAUAAAUAUUAUAUACGUUAAUAAUACAAAAUGAUCGUAAAUUUAAAUCUUCAUUAUAUUUAUGUAUUGUAUAUCUAUUAUUUAUCAAAUAAUUAAAUUUUUAUAAAUGAUUGCAGAAAAAUUAUAAUAUUUUUUGUUUGACGUAUAAAUUCAAUCAAUAAUAUAUUAAAACAUAAACGAUUAAUAAGAUCAAUAUUAAUCCAUUUCUCAAACAUAAAAGAUAUUAGUAUGUGAAGACAAAUAAUAUACACUAAAUAUUUACCCAUAAUAUUAUUAUACAUGUUAUACAACCUUUACAUUUGAAAACUAUUGUAUAGUUUAUUUAUAAAAAGACUAUUUAUUUGGUUAUUAAAAAAAAAUCAUUAUUCGUAUUUUAAAAAUAGAUUGUUUUUAUAAAAUGAAAUAUAAAAAAAAAAAAAUGGAGUCAUUUAGCCUAUACGAGGAAUAUAGCAAGUGAAAACAAAAUUAAUAAAUUCUCACAUCAAUAUAAAAUGUAACUAUUGAUUGUUUAAGGUUCUGGAAUACUUUUUAAUCAAUAUAUUAGACUUAAUCAUAUUUUCUUGGAUGUCGUGGAGAGAGUUAAUGAUAUAGGAUUCAUAAUCGGAUUUGCAUGUCUCAUUAAUCGCGGCUCGCAACAUAUAUAUUGAUACUUUACACUUUUCUUCACUUUUGUUCUCUCUUUUAUUUUUGUCCUCUCUUUUACAAAACUUUGUAGUUGUCUUCACCUUUAUCUUAUAUUAUAACAAAGUAAAAAUUAUCUUUUUAACAAUAAGUUUGUUGUGGGUAUCGAUCGGUCUUUACCAUUAUAAAUAACUAAAACGAUAAAUGUUUAUAAUAAUUUGCUUAUUAAAACUCAUAAUCAAAAUAAAGACUUGAGAUUGUAGUUUUUCACAAUAAUUGAUACAAUAAAACUAAUUUUCUCUUAAUUAUAGGUGUUAAACUCUUAAAAAUUAGACAAACAAUUAUAGUUAAUGUUUUCUGUCAAAGAGUGAAAAUGUAUUUUAAACUAAUAACUAACUUAUUUUCAUUAUUAAUGUAUUAACAAAAUCAUUUAAGAGAAUAUAUCAUCCAUGAUUUAAAGAUAAGUAAAAUAUAUUUUUAUGAUUUGAUUCUCUUGUCUAAUCUUAAGGGUCGGAUAUCUAAUCCACCUUUCAAUAUAUUAUUUGAUAUUCAAGUAUGAAGAUGACUUUAAUGAAAAUUUGAUUAAAAGAUCAAUAUACGUAACAAAGAGAGAUAGAAAUUGUUAGAGAUCUAUCAUUGAAAAUCUUACAAUCUCAAGAUAAGAAAUAUCUACUCACAAAUGAUGAUAGUAUAAUCAAAGCUUAAAUAUAAAAACAUUAAAAAUAUAAAAUAACAUAAUAAAGUAGUAGCAGAAAUAGAAAACUUAAUAAUAUUGAAACUAUAAAUUUGCUUAGAGAAAUACAAGAACAAAAGGAAGAGUAACAAGAGAUUGUGAAUAGAAAUUUGUGUCUAAAAUUGACUAUUUUCGUCUUUUUUAUAGCCCUAUUGAUGUGGAUUUGAGUGUUUCCAUGUGAGAUAAAGUUGUAAAAUAAAAGAGAGAAAGAAAAAAAAAAACAAACACGGGUUAGAUUGAUAAGUCAAUGUAGAAUCGCCACAUUGGUAAGGAAUCCAUUGAUAAGAUUCAAGCAAGUUAUAAUCUAAGAACUCAAAGAGGAGACACAUGUCACUCACAAUUCUCAUUAGAGAAAUUCUAAUGCAUUUCAAAGUUAUACAAAAUGAGACUCUUACGAUGUAUUUAAAGAAGGAUUUACCUUAUUCCUAAAAUUGGCAAAAAAACCAAUUCCCUAGACCCAUAUUAGGCUGACAACAAUUAACUAAAAUUAUUAUAAUUCAAAUUAAACACACAUAAAACUAAAAACUAUUAUAAAGUAUUGACUUGAAAUAUUCUUUGUUUUCCCUCCUAAUUAGCUCAUUUUAGGUCUUCAUCAUUCCCUCCUUCUUAGAAGAAAUUCGACCUCGAAUUUAGCUCAAUCAUAACCUACAACAAGAAAAAACACAAGUCAAAGACAUGAAGAACAAUGUUAAUGCUACCACGGGGAUCAAAUGGAAAUUGUGAAAAACCACUAAAUGUGUCAAGUAGGUGAAGCACAAUUUCAUUUUUUGCAUUCAACAAUCCAACAUAUUCAUUUAUAAUAUAAGGAGUUUUCAAGAUAGAGAUAAAAUAAUAUCUCUUGAAAUUGAUAUUAAGUACCAAUGUUACCUUCCUUGGAUUUGAAUUGGAGAUGAACACGAAGUUACUUUGUAUUUCCAAAGGCUUCAACGCAAUUUGAGCCUCAUGGACAUUCCUUUUAUCAUAAACAAAUGAAUGUUCUUUUUGAAACAAGACAAGUCUCUCCAACAAAUUAGGAGUAUCAUAUGGAAGUUUAAAAGAUUUGUCAAUAAAAGAAAGAGUAAAUAUAGAUGUAGUAGUGCAGCUAUCAUCUAAUUCUACAUGCAAACAUUUACCCUUCAUAGAAAAUCUCAAGAUACUAACUUUAUUUUUAAAACAAGAGUAAGUAUUUAAGUUAGCAAACAAAUGUCUUUAGAAUCCUAACAUAUUAUUCAAAAAAAAAAUUCAUGAACCAAAGUUUCUUUAGAAAGCACAACAAUACAUUUAUCAAGAAAAUCAUUCAAGUAUUGGCUCAUAAUUCUCAAAUCAAGUUUAGAAGAAUAAUAUAGAUUAAAUACUUGAUGCAUCAUGGUUUCAAAUUUCAAAUGAGAUUUAUGAAAAUAACACAAGUUAGACAUUUCAACAUGAUUAUUUGUAAACCUAUCACACAUAGGAGGAAUAAAUUUGUCAAACAAUUUAAGAGAACACAUGAAUUAAAGUAGUAGAAGAAUUAAAGUUACUAGGAUUCAAACCAAUAUUUUUCUUGCAAUGACCCUUUUGAGAAAUAUUUGGCCAAUCACCUUUAACUUCAAUGGAUUAUGGGCAUUCCUCUUAUAGAUACCUAUUUUCAAGCUUUUGAACAUAAGAAUUACCAAAGUUAGGAAAAUAAUUCGACUCAAUUUCUUGCUAUUUCACAUUCUUCGGAUCCAAUACAAAAUCUAUAGUAUAUUCUUCAUAUGAUAUACUUUCCUUUUUUUUUUUUUUUCUUGUUCCUCCUUUUUUAUAUUAUUUGUGUAUUUUCUCUUUUGCAUACCUCAUAUCAUCCAUCUCAAAAUCUAUUUGCCUCGUUGCUUUUGCCCUAUCACUCUUUUCAUAUCUCAUUUCAUCCUCACCAUAAUCUCUAUAUCUUAUUUCUUUUUCAUUAUCUCUCAUUUCAUACAUCAUUUCCUGCUCAUCAUAAUUUUCACAUCUUCUUUCUUUUUCUCUAAAUCUCCUCUCAUACCUCAUUUCCUUAUCAUCAUAACAUCUAUGUAAUGCAAAUUUUUUAUCCAAAAAUUACUUAAAAAUAUUUAUUUUCUUUUAGAAACAACUAUAAAUUUUUUUUUUCUUAGGAAUGGUUAAUCAUGUAAUAAUUUGAAGAUGCAUUAGAAAAUGACUUGAUAUUUUUUUUUUUUUUGUAAAAGAACGUAAUGCAAUUUACUAAAAUAGUAUUUAUUCAUUUAUUUGCAAAAUUAAUAUUUCAAUCGUUACAUCGAUAUUCAUUUAUGCUCCAAAAUAAAAUAAAUUAUCUUUAAGUGAAAUUCAAAAAAAAUAAUGUUGACUAAAAUUAAUGACAUCUAAUUAUUUACUAGCAAAUGAAAUCUCACUUCUGCAUUUCUAUUAAAAGUUAAUGAUUAAGAGUAAAUAAUUUUACAAGUACUACAAAAAAAAAAUUAGUAAUACAAAACAUUAUUUUUAAGUAAAAGUCUCAAUUUCCCACGAGCGUACACCAAGCAAACAUUAUUAUACGACACUUUGAGAUCAUUGGUACCUAAAUGUUGGUGUAAGGGGUCAGUUCAUUCCACAACAAAAAUUAAACCAAAUAAUAAAUUAACAGUCAUAAAAUAUGAAUAUAAAAUCUUUUUGUAUUAAAAGAUUUAAAGAAAUUGAUUCUUUAAUAGUUCUCAAAGAUGUAUCAAAAGUCAUAAAAUGUAUCUAAAUAAAUCAAGUAUCAAUCGUAGAGCAAAUAAUUAGAUCAAAAUCAAAAUAGCAAUAAAAUGUAUGCAAGUUAUGCGUUCUCCUAAACAUAUAUGAUCCGGAUAUAACCAGCCACACAGGCGUCCACACAGAAGUCACUCAUACCAUUGGGGAAAAAUUAAAACAGCCACACAUGCGUCCACAAAGAUGCAUAUGAUAUGUCAUGAAAUGAUAAUGAUGCUCAAAAUGUACAUGUUACCAUCCACUUAAAUAAUCACACAAAUCAUCGGCCACUUAGGCAACCAUAAAGAUAACAAUAUUUAAAACACAAAUCACCAGCCAUUUAGGCAACCACAAAGAUAACAAUAUUUAAAACACAAAUCACCAGCCACCUAGGCAACCACAAAGAUACUGAUAUUUAAAACACAAGUCAUCCGCCACUUAGGCAACCACAAAGAUAACAAUAUUUAAAACACAAAUCACCAUCCACUUAGGCAACCACACAGACAAAAUAUUUUUGAUUAAAUUUUUUAAUCAUAUAAGACAUCAAAUUUAUAUUUACGAUGCAAUAUUACGUAUUUAUGUCUAUGAGUUCAUUAGGAUUAACUAAUAAGUUCACCUUAUAUUGCAGGGUGUCACACCAUCCAUUUUAAUUAAAUAAAUAAAUUAGAGGUAUCACAUCACCCUUUUAAUUUUUUAUCUAAUAGUUACGAAACCAAAAAUAGCAUAGAAUUAUUUUUGUAGACAAUUAAAAUAAAAUUAUAAUUUUUGUUUUAAAGAGAUGAAUGCAUGAGAUACAAAAAGGAGAAUAGUCAUCUCUUAAUUACACAAAAAAGAAAUUCAUAAUUACAUUUAUAAUCUUCCUUUAAAAAAUAAAUUAAAGGUGUUAAAAAUGAGUUAAUACACAUUAUGCCAAGAAACACCAUGAAUUGUCAUAAAAUCUUGUCAUAAAAGAGAAUAAAAGAAUGAGUCAAGUACUAAUAUAUUUUUUUUUAUGGACCAAAAAUAUUUUCAAAAUACUUGUAUCUAAAAGCUGGGUUUCACUAACUCUAUAAUAUCUCAUAAAAUAAAUACUUAUUUGGUCGUAAAUAAAACUAACAAACAAUAAACUUUUAUAAAUUCUAAUUUAAUUAAAUAAUCAAUUAAUAUGUUAUCAACUAAAAUAAAUCAAGCAAGACAAGAAUACCACUCACACAUAAAAAAUAGAACAAACAUAUCUAACACAUCAAUUUCAUGAUUAUCGAAACUAAUCAAAUAAAAAAUGUACAGUCGUCCAUUUAGAAAAUAAUCACAUCAUAAACCAUCCCCAUGUAAUUGUCACGCCAAAACAAUUAAAUAAAAAUAAAAGUUAUAAUUAUUCAGGUAAAAUAGAGUGUGAUAAAAUUUACUUUAAUUUAUUUAUACAUAGAAUAAUUAUUAAUUUAAUAAUAAAUGAUAACAAUUACUAACACGACACAUAUAUAAUAGGCUAAAUUACAUUCGUGGUCCUUAACUUAAUUCCAGGUAACGUUUUAGUCCUUUAUCUUUUUUUUUUCCCGACUUGGUCAUUUAUUUUAAUUUUAAGUGACAAUUUGAUAUUUUAUGUUUUAAAAUUUCAACAAUGGUAUCCUUUUUUAUACAAAAAUUCAAAAAAAAAAAAUUCAAUUAAAACUCAUAAAAUUAAUUAUAUUCUUCAAUAUAAUACAAAUUUCAUCAAAUUCGUAACGCAAAUCUUUAAAUAAACUCAUAUUUUCAUACUUUAUUUGAUAUUGUUAGGAAUAAAGGACUAAAUCGGAAAAAAAAAAAAAAAAGAUAAAUGACUAAAACGUUACUUGAAAUUAAGUUAAGGGACCAUGGAUGUAAUUUAGCCUAUAUAAUAUAUAUGAAAAUUUUGGGUUGUUACAAUCUACAUCUUCUUUCUUUCUUAAUUUCAAACAUAUCUUUAUUUUGAGAAGAUCUUUCAUGGUGAGAUAUCAUAUAUAUUUGAUUCACGAACUCUUCUCUCAAGACAUUCAUUUGAGUAUUCAAAUUUUUGUAAAGUGACCCAUAAGAUAAGUGAUCUGGAAGAAAGUGGAUUUGGUUCACUUUCACUCCCAAUAAUUAAACAAAUAACAAGAACAAGAUAAAAAAUAAAUAAAUAAAUAAAUAAUGCUCUCAUCACUCACUAAGUGUUUACACUCAAGAAAUAUAUUACUCGUGUAUAUCACACAAUGGUGGCUUUUUUUUCUUUCAAUGAUGUACAUUUUUGCCUUUUCCACUCAAACUCCUCUUUCAAGUUCUUAAAAAGAACCCAAAUAAAAAUCCAAAUCAAAUAAUAGAAACACAAUGUAACAAGUCCACAAAAGCUAUCAACACAAGAGUUUCAAGAAGAAAAACUCUAAGACAAAACUAAGAGAAUUUAAAAUGACAAACAAGAAGAAAAAACUAGGUAAAUGAAUACAUACUCAAGUAGAUUAUAAAAGAAAAACAAAAAUAUUAUAAAUAAAUCACUAAGUGAUCCAAAUAUGUGGAAGGUAAGAUGCUAAAGUCAAACUUGUUGGUAUUAAUGACCUCUAUCCUUAGGAUGUUUUAUACAAUAUUUUUAACUAGAUUAUCUAAUUCUUUCCUAAGUGAUGAACUUAAUAUCCAAACCAACUUGUUUAAUAUUAAUUCCAAUUUAACAGUAAAAGAUUCAAAAAUUUAUUCCAAACUAAAAUUCAAGAACACGUGCAAUAUCAAAAUAAAGAGUCUAGAGAAAGAAAAUUGUGCACCCUUGAUUUUUAUACUGGUUCGACUAUCAGUUUGAUAGUCUACGUCCAGUCCUGGAAUCAAUCACCGAUUCCAGCCUUUAUUAGAAAUGAUUUGAGUUUGUUUACAGACUUUCCAGCACCUCACUGCCUAUACAUCCAACUCAACAUCAAUCUUCUACAAACACCAAUCUAUCCUUACGAACUACUCGCCAAGCUCUAGCAAGAUCAUAUUGAGACCUCUUUUAGAUGACCACACACUCUAAAAGAUGAUCACCAAUUUCACAAUACUGGAUUUUUCACACACUUUCUUUUACAAAGAUAUUUCUUGCAAAAAGACUCAAAACUCUUGAUUCAAUCACAAUCAAUCUCACACAUAAUAUUUGCCAAUGAAGUUUGUGAGUUAUAACAAUUUCUCUCAAGGUGUAUUAUUGGAAAAGUUCAGUUCUUUCAAUGUAUUCUGUAAAAGAAAUUUUUAUGAAAAUUGUGAUUGAUUUCAAUGUAUAUAGUUUUUGAAAAACUCAGAUAAAUCGAUUUCCCAAUCGAUUUAUUAAUGUGUAUUCCCAGCUUUAUCGAUUUCCCAAUCGAUUUCGCGUUUCUUGUUUUUCUUUAAAUUCUUGAAAACAGAUGAACUAAUCGAUUUGCUAAUUGAUGUUUUUAAUGCAUAAAUCAGAACUUUGAUGCUCAGUUCAUCUCCUAGUCGAUUGAGUAAUCGAUUUAUAUUUGUUUUGUUCAAAGUGUAAGAUCAAAUAAUCGAUUACUCAGUCGAUUCAUGUUUACUAACAUAAUCGAUUUGGCAAUGGGCUAAUGUCUCCCUGUAACUUAUAUACUCAACCAAAUCGAUUUUCCAAUCGACUGAUUUCUCCAUGUAACUCAGUCACUUAGUUACAAUCGAUGUGCCAAUCGAAUAUGUAGUAUGUCUCUGAUAAAUGAUAAACUGAUUCAUUUAUGCAAUCGAUUAUCCAAUCGAUUUUGUUUAAUCACAGAACACAGGUCUGAUAAAACAUUUUUAAGUAAUCGAUUUGCGAAUCGAUUAUCUCAGUGAAAGUUUUGUUCUGUGAAUCAAACAAUCAAUUAACCAAUUGAUUAGUGGGAAUCUUGUACCUCAAGAAAGUAUAUCAAUCGAUUGUCCAAUCGAUUCCCUUUGAUCAUAGAACACAGGUCUGAUAUCUUGUACCUCAAGAAAAGUAUAUCAAUCGAUUGUCCAAUCGAUUCCCUUUGAUCAUAGAACACAGGUCUGAUAUCUUGUACCUCAAGAAAAGUAUAUCAAUCGAUUGUCCAAUCGAUUCCCUUUGAUCAUAGAACACAGGUCUGAUAUCUUGUACCUCAAGAAAAGUAUAUCAAUCGAUUGUUCAAUCGAUUGCCUUUGAUCAUAAAACAUAGGUCUGAUAUUAGCCUUUAAGUAAUUGAUUUCCUAAUCGAUUGACUUAGUUAAAACUUGGUUCUAUAACUCAGAAAAUCGAUUGCCCAGUUGAUUUCCCAAUUGAUUUAUUAAAAUACUUAUUUUAUGAUUUCAUUUUUCAUUGGCAAAUAUUAGAUGUGUGAAAUCAUAAUGAUGAAUCUAACUAAUACACUAUGAACACUAAACAUAUUUAUACAGAAUCUUCAAGCUUUAUAUGAUCCAAUCAAUCUUUGCUUGAUUGCUUGAGAUCCAAGUUUUGUCCAGGUUUUGUUUGAUUCUUUCCUGAAAUGUAUCUCAAUUCAAACUAUAAGAUUUAUCAAAUAAUGCAUAUACAUUGUAUGUUUGGGAGUUACAUCAAAAUCACAGAGGUAUAUAUCUUACAAUCUCCCCCUUUUUGAUUAAAUGACAAACAUACAAUUUAACUUUGAGUUUUACAUUUCAACAUUAGACCUUAACUUUAUAAUAAUCCUUAUUUAAACUCCCCUUGAAUUUUAGCAUUCAUAUUUCAUUUCAAUUUCAGAUUAAUUCUUAUUUAAACUCCCUCUGAAUUUUAGCAUUCAUAAUUCAGUAUUCAUAAGAUUGCAUAAGCACAAGCACAAGUUAAAUUCAUUCUCCCCCUUUGUCAUUAAAUUCAAAAAGAAAAUACAAGGGAGAAUAAAAAAUUUACAAAACAAUAAGGAAAACAUAAAUCCUAAACUCUAAUCUAGGGCUGCUCCUGAUUAGGGGGGGAAGGAGGUUCAUCAUCCUGAUUCCCUGAUCUAGGUACUAACAUCCUGGUUAGCACAUACAUCAGCAAUUUGUGCUGAAUCUUCAUUUGACCAAUGGGAAGAGAGAUGCCUUCCAUAAAUCCUUCAACCAUUAGGUCUUGAAUUGAUGUGUGUCUGUCCACUGAUGUUUCCCAAGCAUCAUCAGUGGAGUCAGGAUUGGUCCUGCCAUAAAAUGGCAGUCCUGACAGCCUUGAGAAUUCUCUAAAGGUCAUAGAGAUCUUCUUUCCUUUCACUUCAGAGUCAAAUCCAAAAGUUGUGAGUGUGAAGUUGGAGUAGAAAGCUCUAAUGAGCCUUGGAUAGAUUUCUAGAGAGCAGGAUAGAAAGUCUACCAAAUCAUGAAAUCUUAAAUGGUUUUGGAAUGUGAAGCCAUUUGAAUCAAAAUACGCAAAAUCCAGAGUUCUUGCCUCAUGGAUUUUCCUUUCUAAGAAGGCGGGUGGAAGAACAACGUCUUCAACAGGUUUGCCUUUGGGAGGCUGAAUCUUCUUUGGCUGGGGGGAAGAAUAGUUUUCUUCUUUUUCUGGGUUGGCCCCUUCAUGGCAUCCCCCAUUAGUUUUUCAGAUUGAGAAACCUUCCUCUUUUUUGUUGUUCCUUGAUCAGUUGCAAUUGCCUUUCCUUUAUCCUUUGCUAACACCUUAUGAGUAGGUAUUGAGACUCUCUUAGCAGGAGGGGAANNNNNNNNNNNNNNNNNNNNNNNNNNNNNNNNNNNNNNNNNNNNNNNNNNNNNNNNNNNNNNNNNNNNNNNNNNNNNNNNNNNNNNNNNNNNNNNNNNNNNNNNNNNNNNNNNNNNNNNNNNNNNNNNNNNNNNNNNNNNNNNNNNNNNNNNNNNNNNNNNNNNNNNNNNNNNNNNNNNNNNNNNNNNNNNNNNNNNNNNNNNNNNNNNNNNNNNNNNNNNNNNNNNNNNNNNNNNNNNNNNNNNNNNNNNNNNNNNNNNNNNNNNNNNNNNNNNNNNNNNNNNNNNNNNNNNNNNNNNNNNNNNNNNNNNNNNNNNNNNNNNNNNNNNNNNNNNNNNNNNNNNNNNNNNNNNNNNNNNNNNNNNNNNNNNNNNNNNNNNNNNNNNNNNNNNNNNNNNNNNNNNNNNNNNNNNNNNNNNNNNNNNNNNNNNNNNNNNNNNNNNNNNNNNNNNNNNNNNNNNNNNNNNNNNNNNNNNNNNNNNNNNNNNNNNNNNNNNNNNNNNNNNNNNNNNNNNNNNNNNNNNNNNNNNNNNNNNNNNNNNNNNNNNNNNNNNNNNNNNNNNNNNNNNNNNNNNNNNNNNNNNNNNNNNNNNNNNNNNNNNNNNNNNNNNNNNNNNNNNNNNNNNNNNNNNNNNNNNNNNNNNNNNNNNNNNNNNNNNNNNNNNNNNNNNNNNNNNNNNNNNNNNNNNNNNNNNNNNNNNNNNNNNNNNNNNNNNNNNNNNNNNNNNNNNNNNNNNNNNNNNNNNNNNNNNNNNNNNNNNNNNNNNNNNNNNNNNNNNNNNNNNNNNNNNNNNNNNNNNNNNNNNNNNNNNNNNNNNNNNNNNNNNNNNNNNNNNNNNNNNNNNNNNNNNNNNNNNNNNNNNNNNNNNNNNNNNNNNNNNNNNNNNNNNNNNNNNNNNNNNNNNNNNNNNNNNNNNNNNNNNNNNNNNNNNNNNNNNNNNNNNNNNNNNNNNNNNNNNNNNNNNNNNNNNNNNNNNNNNNNNNNNNNNNNNNNNNNNNNNNNNNNNNNNNNNNNNNNNNNNNNNNNNNNNNNNNNNNNNNNNNNNNNNNNNNNNNNNNNNNNNNNNNNNNNNNNNNNNNNNNNNNNNNNNNNNNNNNNNNNNNNNNNNNNNNNNNNNNNNNNNNNNNNNNNNNNNNNNNNNNNNNNGCUGUUGAAAGUGCCACACUAUUUUGUUUCUUGUUAUGCCAAGAUACAAGUGAAUUCCCUAAUAGAUGGCAAGUACCAGAUGUACUUUUUCUGUCUAAUUUGCAACCAGCAAAAUCAGAAUCAGAAUAGCCAACAAGAGUGCAAGUUGAUCCCUUAGGAUACCAUAAGCCUAGAUGUUUGGUUCCCAAUAGAUAUCUUAAUAUUAUUUUGACUGCACUUAAAUGGGAUUCCUUAGGAUUGGCUUGAUAUCUUGGACACAUGCAGACACUAAACAUAAUGUCAGGUCUACUAGCUGUAAGAUAUAAUAAAGAUCCUAUCAUGCCUCUAAACAUGGUCAUAUCCACAGAUUUUUCCUUUUCAUCUUUAUCUAAAUGACAAGCUUGGCUCAUGGGUGUAUCAAUGGGUUUAAAUUUAUCAAAGCCAAACUUCUUUAAAAGAUCAUUACAGUACUUGGUUUGACUUAGGAAAAUACCAUUCUUGCUUUGAUUGAUUUGAAAUCCUAAGAAGAAGGUUAAUUCUCCCAUCAUGGACAUUUCAAAUCUUCCUUUCAUUGUAUUUUCAAAUUCUUUGCAAAGUUUGUUGUUUGUGGAUCCAAAGAUUAUGUCAUCAACAGAAAUUUGGACAAGCAGAAUGUCUUUUCCCUUUUUCUUUAUAAAGAGUGUUUUAUCAACAUUUCCUCUUGAAAAUUUUUGCUGUAUGAGGAAAUUGUUGAGCUUUUCAUACCAAGCUCUUGGAGCUUGUUUCAAUCCAUAGAGAGCUUUUGUUAGUUUAUAAACAUGGUUUGGAAAAGCAGGAUUCUCAAAUCUUGGAGUUUGACUAACAUAAACCUCCUCUUGGAUAUCUCCAUUUAGAAAAGCACUCUUUACAUCCAUUUGAUACAAUUUAAAGUCCAUGAUACAAGCAUAAGCAAGCAGAAUCCUAAUUGCUUCUAAUCUGGCCACAAGAGCAUAAGUCUCAUCAUAAUCAAUACCUUCCUCCUGGUUGUAGCCUUUAGCAACUAGCCUAGCCUUAUUUCUAGUUAUUACCCCAUUCUCAUCCAUUUUAUUCCUAAACACCCAUCUAGUUCCAAUAAUACAAGUGUGUGAUGUAAAAUAUACCUGGUAGCCUUUAUCACAAAGCUGACUAAUGCUAAGUAGAUUGUGUUUCAAACCUUUUACAUAGAGAACAUCCUUGACUAUGGUUGUUGAUUCACUCCCUAUGUCUCCAGCACCAAGUAUUUUGCCUUUGUUAUUGUCACCAUACUUCACAUAUCCUCCAUCUUUUAAAUCAAGAGAUAUAAAUUUUGAUUUGUCUCCAGUCAUAUGUUUGGAACAUCCACUGUCUAGAUACCAUGAGUGAGUUUUGGAUGUCAAGCAGAUCUGCAAAACAAAAUUCAGACUUUGGUUCUAGGUACCCAAUUUUGAUUGGGUCCUUGAGGGUUAGUCUCAAUCAUAGGUUUCUUUACUCUCCAAACUUGUUUCCAUCCUUUGUUAGCAAGCUUUUUCAAUUUACAAUUAAAUGAUAUGUGUCCUUUUUUGCAACAAAAAUGGCAUGAAAAAGUAGAGAAUGUACUGUGAGUUGGUUUACUGCAAACAUCAUGAAUUGACUUUGAUUUAACAAAUUUAUAAUUCUUUUGAACAUUCCUAUUUGGUCUAUAGCCAAUUCCAGAUUUUUCAUUUGCAUUCUUUUGGUUGCCAAGAAGAACAUUCAGGUUGUUUCUACCAUUUGUAAAUUUUGCUAAAUCAGAUUUUAGUGACACAACUUUUCCUUCAAGUUCAGUAAAGCUAUUUUGUUUAUCAAGUGCUUCCUUUUUCAACAAUUCAUUCAUGUCUUUAAGCAACUUAUGAUCUUUCUUAAUUUCUUCAUAUAUCAUGCAUUGUUUUUCUAACAUUUUCUUAGUGCAAAUCAAUUGUUUGACUACCUUAAUAUGUUCAUCAUGCAAUUCAUUAAAAGCAUCAUCCAGUUCUUCAUAAGAGGGAUUAGAGGUAGUACUUACAUCACUGUCUGAAUCUGAAUCAAGGUUGGCCAUUAGACACAAGUUUGCUUCUUCAUCUUCUGAAUUUUCAGACGAUUCUUCAUCAUUGUCAUUCCAAGAUAUGUAAGCUCUUUUAGUUUUUGAAGAUGGUUGAUCCUUGCCUUUAGCUUUCACAAAUUUGUUUCUAUUUUGCAGUUGAAAACAUUCAGAUAUAAUGUGGCCUGAUUUUCCACAUUCAUAGCAAGUUAUCACUUUGCUAUCAUUUGUUUCAUUCUUGCUGAAGCUUUUUGCCCUUGAUCUGGAUGGUUUCUUUGAUUGGACUCCUUUCUUCUUCAGAAAUUUCUUGAAUUUUCUGACCAGCAUCCCAAUUUCAGGUUCUUCAUCAGUUUCACUUUCUGAGUCACCAGUACAAGUUUCUGGUUCAGAUUUUGGUUUAUGAGUUUGAGCUUUCAGAGAUAGUCCUUUUCUUUUCCGAUCAGUUUGCUCUGACUCAUUCAACCGGUGCAACUCCAUUUCAUGUUCUCUGAGCUUGCCAAAUAGGGUGGCAAUGGUCAUGCUUCCAAGAUCCUUUGAUUCAGCAAUUGCAGUGACCUUAGGUUGCCAUUCUCUUGUCAAGCAUCUCAUUACUUUGUUUAUUUGUUGCUCAUUGUCAAUUACUUUUCCUAGAGCAUUCAGAUUGUUUAUGACAUGUGUGAACUUUGUCUGCAAGUCAUUGAUUGACUCAUCCUUCUUCAUAUUGAAAAGUUCAUAUUCAGGCAUCAGAGUAUUUGUUCUGGCCUUCUUGACAUCAGUUGUGCCUUCAUGAGUUUCUUGGAGUGUAUCCCACAUUUCUUUGGCAGUUUUGCAAUUUGAUACCCUGAAAAACUCAUCAGCACUCAAAGCAGAAACUAUUAUGUUUUUGGCUUUUGCAUCAUAGCCAACUUUUUUUUUAUCAUCAUCAGACCAAUCAGCUCUUGGUUUCUUGAUAAAUGAUCCAUCAGUGCCAGCAAGUUUAGGCACAUAAGGACCAUUUUCUACUGCAUCUAAGAUGUCAAGCCCACUUGCCUCUAGAAAGAUAAACAUUCUUUCUUUCCAAUACAUGUAAGCAGACCCAUUAAAGGCACCUUCACCCAAGAAUUCAAUAGAAGUCAUUUUCUUUUUGGGAACUAGUCUAAAAGAUCAGGCUCUUGAUGCCAAUUGUUGGUAUUAAUGACCUCUAUCCUUAGGAUGUUUUAUACAAUAUUUUAAACUAGAUUAUCUAAUUCUUUCCUAAGUGAUGAACUUAAUAUCAAAACCAACUUGUUUAAUAUUAAUUCCAAUUUAACAGUAAAAGAUUCAAAAAAUUAUUCCAAACUAAAAUUCAAGAACACAUGCAAUAUCAAAAUAAAGAGUCUAGAGAAAGAAAAUUGUGCACCCUUAAUUUUUAAACUGGUUCGACUACCAGUCCUAGAAUCAAUCACCGAUUCUAGCCUUUAUUAGAAAUGAUUUGAGUUUGUUUACAGACUUUCCAGCACCUCACUGCCUAUACAUCCAACUCAACAUCAAUCUUCUACAAACACCAAUCUAUCCUUAAGAACUACUCGCCAAACUCUAACAAGAUCAGAUUGAGACCUCUUUUAGAUGAUCACACACUCUAAAAGAUGAUCACCAGUUUCACAAUACUGGAUUUUUCACACACUUUCUUUUACAAAGAUAUUUCUUGCAAAAAGACUCAAAACUCUUGAUUCAACCACAAUCAAUCUCACACAUAAUAUUUGCCAAUGAAGUUUGUGAGUUAUAACAAUUUCUCUCAAGGUGUAUUAUUUGAAAAGUUCAGUUCUUUCAAUGUAUUUUGUAAAAGAAAUUGUUAUGAAAAUUGUGAUUGAUUUCAAUUUAUAUAGUUUUUGAAAAACUCAGAUAAAUCAAUUUCCCAAUCGAUUUAUUAAUGUGUAUUCCCAGCUUAAUCGAUUUCCCAAUCAAUUUCACGUUUCUUGUUUUUCUUUAAAUUCUUGAAAACAGAUGAACUAAUCGAUUUGCUAAUCGAUAUUUUUAAUGCAUAAAUCAUAACUUUGAUGCUCAGUUCAUCUUCGAGUCAAUUGAGUGAUCGAUUUAUAUUUGUUUUGUUCAAAGUGUAAGAUCAAAUAAUCGAUUACUCAGUCGAUUCAUGUUUACUAACAUAAUCGAUUUGGCAAUGGGCUAAUGUCUCCCUGUAACUCAUAUACUCAACCAAAUCGAUUUGCCAAUCGACUGAUUUCUCCCUGUAACUCAGUCACUUAGUUACAAUCGAUGUGCCAAUCGAAUAUGUAGUAUGUCUCUGAUAAAUGAUAAGCUGAUUCAUUUAUGCAAUCGAUUAUCCAAUCGAUUUUGUUUAAUCACGGAACACAGGUCUGAUAAAACAUUUUUAAGUAAUCGAUUUGCUAAUCGGUUAUCUCAGUGAAAGUUUUGUUUUGUGAAUCAAACAAUCGAUUAACCAAUUGAUUAGUGGGAAUCUUGUACCUCAAGAAAGUAUAUCAAUCGAUUGUCCAAUCGAUUCCCUUUGAUCAUAGAACACAAGUCUAAUAUAUUGGACCUUAAGAAAAGUAUAUCAAUCGAUUGCCUUUGAUCAUAAAACACAUGUCUGAUAUCAGCCUUUAAGUAAUCGAUUUCCUAAUCGAUUAACUUAGUUAAAACUUGGUUCUAUAACUCAGAAAAUCGAUUGCCCAGUUGAUUUCCCAAUUGAUUGAUUAAAGUACUUAUUUUAUGAUUUCAUUUUUAAUUGGCAAAUAUUAGAUGUGUGAAAUCAUAAUGAUGAAUCUAACUAAUACACUAUGAACACUAAACAUAUUUAUACAGAAUCUUCAAGCUUUGCAUGAUCCAAUCAAUCUUUGCUUGAUUGCUUGAGAUCCAAGUUUUGUCCAGGUUUUGUUUGAUUCUUUCCUGAAAUGUAUCUCAACUCAAACUAUUAGAUUUAUCAAAUAAUGCAUAUACAUUGUAUGUUUGGGAGUUACAUCAAAAUCACAGAGGCAUAUAUCUUACAAUCUCCCCCUUUUUGAUUAAAUGACAAACAUACAAUUUAACUUUGAGUUUUACAUUUCAACAUUAGACCUUAACUUUAUAAUAAUCUUUAUUUAAACUCCCUUUGAAUUUUAGCAUUCAUAAUUCAUUUCAAUUUCAGAUUCAUUCUUAUUUAAACUCCCCCUGAAUUUUAGCAUUCAUAAUUCAGUAUUCAUAAGAUAGCAUAAGCACAAGCACAAGUUAAAUUCAUUAUCCCCAUUUGUCAUUAAAUUCAAAAAGAAAAUACAAGAGAGAAUAAAAAAUUUACAAAACAAUAAGGAAAACAGAAAUCCUAAACUCUAAUCUAGGGCUGCUCCUGAUUAGGGGGGGAAAGAGGUUCAUCAUCCUGAUUGGCCACUUGUGUGCCAAUGUCAACAAUGUCCUCAAAGGACAUCUUAAGACCUAAAUGUUCUUGGAUGGCAUCAACAUCCUGAACAAUGGAGUUGAGAGUUGUCUGGAGUCGCAUUAGGGAGGCUUCCACCUUGGCAUUGUGUCUAACUUGGGACUCCAUAAAUUCCAGCAACUUGGCUAACACCUCAUAUUGGGGUUCAGCUUGUUCAGGUUGGUUGUGCCCUUGUCCAAAUACCAUUUAUCCUUUUCAACUGCAUUUGGUUGACAGUUGAUUCCCCAAAAAUCAAAGUGGUUUUUAUAGAUUCUUAAUUGACAAUUGAGAUUUUAAAGUGUCUCAGAAUCUUUGUGAUAAGUUGAGGGUAGGGGAGCAUUUGUUUUCCUUGUGCUGACUCUAGCAUGUUAGCCAGCACAAUCCAGGCCCAACUCUUCUUCAGUUCCUUGUAAAGGCCCCAAAGAAUAGUGAUAUCAAGCCUUUGAAUCACAGCAUGAUUCCCUGAUCUAGGUACUAACAUCCUGGUUAGCACAUACAUCAGCGAUCUGUGCUGAAUCUUCAUUUGACCAAUGGGAAGAGAGAUGCCUUCCACAAAUCAUUCAACCAUUAGGUCUUGAAUUGUUGUGUGUCUGUCCACUGAUGUUUCGCAAGCAUCAUCAGUGGAGUCAGGAUUGGUCCUGCCAUCCACAGCUUCUCCAUAAAAUGGCAGUCCUGACAGCCUUGAGAAUUCUCUAAAGGUCAUGGAGAUCUUCUUUCCUUUCACUUCAGACUCAAAUCCAAAAGUUGUGAGUGUGAAGUUGGAGUAGAAAGCUCUAAUGAGCCUUGGAUAGAUUUCUAGAGAGCAGGAUAGAAAGUCUACCAAACCAUGAAAUCUUAAAUGGUUUUGGAAUGUGAAGCCAUUUGAAUCAAAAUAGGCAAAACCCAGAGUUCUUGCCUCAUGGAUUUUCCUUUUUAAGAAGGCGGGUGGAAGAACAACGUCUUCAACAGGUUUGCCUUUGGGAGGCUGAAUCUUCUUUGGCUGGGGGGAAGGAAUAGUUUUCUUCUUUUUCUGGGUUGGCCCCUUCAUGGCAUCCCCCAUUAGUUUUUCAGAUUGAGAAACCUUCCUCUUUUUUGUUGUUCCUUGAUCAGUUGCAAUUGCCUUUCCUUUAUCCUUUGCUAACACCUUAUGAGUAGGUAUUGAGACUCUCUUAGCAGGAGGGGAAAGAGGUGGAGGAGAAGGGGUUCUUCCACUAGAUGUUGAGGAAGAAUCUAAGGAAAUAGAUUUUGAAGAAGAUGAUUGAGGUUUCUCACUAGUCUGUUUUACUCUAGCCAUUGUAGAGAUUUUGGAAGUUUGAGUGAUUUGAGAAGAUUUGAGAAGGAUUGAUGCACAGAGAAUUCGAGUUUGGGAGAGAUAGAUAGUGAAAAAUGUGAAAUGAUUGUGAAAAUGGGUUGAGAAAUCGAUUUAGGGUUUUAUAUAACCUCCAACGGCUAGUUAUUUUUUGCAACAGUCACAUUUCAAAUCGAUUCCCAAAUCAAUUUCGUAAGUGAUCCUUCAAUUGAUAAAUCGAUUUCCUCAUCAGUUCAGAAAACCUUCUCAUAGCAGCAGCGAUUUCCAAAUCGAUUAUUUUGAAUAUAUUGACCAUACAGGGAUUUCAAUCGACUUCCAAAUCGACUUAUUUUGGCUCAGAGUUUUAGAAUUUGAUACAAUCGAUUACCAAAUCGAUGCUCGUGUUUGAGGUUGGAAAAUUUCUCAAAUCUUUGGAUUUCUGAGAGAAGUAAUCGAUUAUGCAAUCGACUUUUUAAAACAAUUUUCCAUAUCCUCAAUCGAUUCAUCAAUCGAUUGUAUAGUUUGUCAAAUCUAUAUUGGUUCAGCACUGGUUCCUAACACAGAUUACCAAAUCGAUUAUGAAAUCGAUUGUUGUGCUUUUUAUUUUGACAAAUGAGAAACUGUGGAGCAUAAAUCGAUUCCUAAUUCGAUUUUCAUAAUUUUGACACAGGAUAGUCGACCUGCAAAUCGACUUAUCUAUUGUAAAUUAAGAAAUUUAGAGAGCACAUCGAUUUCUCAAUUGAUUUUCAACAGAUAUCAUAUUUCAUUUUGAUCUAUAAUACCAAGUUUCAUUCUAAUAUAGAAGAAACUUUCCUUGGGUAGGGCUUUGGUAAAUAUAUCAGCUAAUUUAUCAGAUGUAUUAAUAUAUUCAAGCAUGAUAUUACCAUUUUGGUAUUGAUCUCUAAUGAAAUUAUGUUUAAUCUCUAUAUGCUUUGUUCUUGAGUGCAUAACAGGGUUCUUUGUGAUAUUUAUGGCACUAGUGUUGUCACACAUUAUUGGCACAGUUCCAAGAUCAACACCAGAGUCAGAAAUGUGUUGUUUCAUCCAUAAGAUUUGUGCACAACAACUUCCAACAGCUACAUAUUCAGCCUCAGCUGUUGAAAGUGCCACACUAUUUUGCUUAUUGCUAUGCCAAGAUACAAGUGAAUUCCCUAAUAGAUGGCAAGUACCAGAUGUACUUUUUCUGUCUAAUUUGCAACCAGCAAAAUCAGAAUCAGAAUAGCCAACAAGAGUGCAAGUUGAUCCCUUAGGAUACCAUAAGCCUAGAUGUUUGGUUCCCAAUAGAUAUCUUAAUAUUCUUUUGACUGCACUUAGAUGGGAUUCUUUAGGAUUGGCUUGAUAUCUUGCACACAUGCAGACACUAAACAUAAUGUCAGAUCUACUAGCUGUAAGAUAUAAUAAAGAUCCUAUCAUGCCUCUAAACAUGGUCAUAUCCACAGAUUUUUCCUUUUCAUCUUUAUCUAAAUGACAAACUUGACUCAUGGGUGUAUCAAUGGGUUUAAAUUUAUCAAAGCCAAACUUCUUUAAAAGAUCAUUACAGUACUUGGUUUGACUUAGGAAAAGACUAUUCUUGCUUUGAUUGAUUUGAAAUCCUAAGAAGAAGGUUAAUUCUCCCAUCAUGGACAUUUCAAAUCUUUCUUUCAUUGUAUUUUCAAAUUCUUUAAAAUUAAUUUAAAUAAAUUUCUCAUUUUUUAUAAUUAUUUAAAAUUUUAAGAUAAAUAUUAAAUGUUUUAACAAAAUAAAAAAUUAAAAGGCUUAUUAAUUUGCAAGGAAUAAAUUUCUUGGAGAAUAAUUGAGUGAGACAGUGUAUUUUAAAUUUGAAGAUAUACGAAGAAACUUUGUCUUAAAAAACAUUUUAGAAAGGAAAUGAAUUUUGAAUUUAAAAUUUGUGAAGAACUUGUUCUUCUUCUUGUACCUAGCAAACACAUGUGUUUCAUUAACAAAAUACUCCUAUAUACAAAAAAAAAAUUAUGAAAUAAAGAUUAUUAACCUUAGCCUGGUUGAUUCAUUUUAAAAAAAAAUGUUUAUGACACUUAUUAGUGUUUUAAAGUUUAAAGAUAUAAGUUUUUAACUGCAAAUUUUUAUUUCAUUUCUUUAAAAAUUAAAAAAUAUUUUUUUAAUACACAAUUAUUAUUUGAUGAAUAUUUAAUAUUUAUCUUUUAAGCAUAAAUUAUCAUGAAAAAUGAAUGGGGUGACAACGUCUCAUAUAAUAAUAAAAUAAAAUAAACAAAACCAAGACGCUAUGAUUCACUUUUUAAAAAUUGAUUUUGAAUUCAAGUUUUUAAAACUGUUUUUAAAAAUUAUUUUGUAUUUAAUGAAUUUAAAAACUAUUAAAAAAAAAGUGAAAGAGGAAUUGCUUUUCAAUUUUAGAAAAAGUGAAAAUAUGGGAAAUUAGUGAAUUAACUGGUUACUCUAUAAAUAUAUAAAAUUUAGUUUCUAAAUUUUACAGAAUAGUUAAAUAAUCCGUCAAUUUGCUGUUAAGAUUUUCAUCACUAUCACAUUCCCUGUGACUGUCAUAACUUAGAUGGAACGCUUUUUUAGUCGUAAUUUUUUCACAUAAUCUAUGUUUAAUUUUUUAUAACAAUAAUAAUAAUAAUAAAUAAAUAAAUAAACUCACAAUUGUUUUCUAUUAAAAACUAUAUAUAUUGUUUUAAUUUUUCUACAAGAAUAUAUAAGAGCAAAUGUACUGCUUGUUAAACCAUUUAAUGAAAAAGAUUAGGUUUUGUAUAUGUAAUAUUAGAAAUAAUUAUAAUUUGUAUAUAACUAAAUAUAAAUAAUCAUUUUAACAUAUGGUUUGAAAUGGAAUAUGUCUGUAUAAUAAAUAUUUUCUUUAAUUGUAGACAACUAUCACAUUUAAAUUUUUAUUUCAAAACUAAUACUUUUUAUUUUUUAUUUAAUAAAAUUAAAAUUAAUGAUGAGUAUUUCUUUACUAUUCUACCGUGACAUUUUAUGACUAUUUAUUUUUCUAAACUAUACUUAAUAAGACAGGUAAUGAUUUUUUUGAUUAAAUACAAAAGUAUUAAAAUUCAAUUUAUAUGCGAAUAAAAUAUUUUUAUAAUAUAAAUCAAUCAUAAAAUUUAAAUUAUAAAAUAUUUUUUAAUUUAAGAUACCUACUUUAAAAGUUAUGCCUAUUCCUUUUAAACUCAUAUAUAAUAAACAUAAUUUAAUUAUUUUAUUUGUUUGAUACUUAUAUAUAAUAAAACAAAAUUUAAUUAUUUUAUUUGUUUGAUAAGUAUAUCCUAAUAAAACAUCUUUAAAUUGUUACAUUUAGCAAGUCAUGUAAAUAAAAGUUACGUCUCAUCAAAAUUAAAAAAUAUUUUAAUUAACAUGAUUUUAUUUUAUUUAAUGUGUUUGAUUAUUAAAUAUGAAAUUAUUAAAUAUCAUAUUAAUUCCUAUUAAUUCACACUAUAACAUUUUAUUUACCGUGUUUAACACUAUUUUCUUGUAUAACUGUUUGUUUGUCUAACAAGAUAUUAUUUAAUAUAAAAAUACUCAUGUAUCACUAACUUUUAUUUUUUAAAUUACUUUAUAAUAUUAGGAGCGAUGCCAAUUUUCUAUCGCAUGUACACCAUUAUAAUUUCUAUUAUAGUUCAUGUACAAUAUUAUAAUUAAUAUUAAUUUUAUUACUCAAUUAAGUUUAUGUAUUUAUUGAUCGAAUUUAUAAUUUGAAAAAAGUAAUUUAAUCUUAUAAGUUUAUAAAAUUUUAGGUAUUGAUAGAUAAUAAAUAUGUAAUACAUAAAUAUAAUGUGGUUCAAAUUUAACAUCAUUUGGUAUUACUAACAUAUAUAAUAUGUAUGCACAAUGAACUUUAAUUUAUGAUACAUGAAUAAUGAAGGACAAUGAAUUUUUAUGAUACAUAUCAAAUUUAAAUAACUGUAAAUUUUUUUUAAUUAUAUGUAUGCAUAAUGAACUUUAAUUUAUUUAUAUAUGUAAUUUUAUUUUUAUUAUAAUAAUAAUAAUAAUAAUUUUAUUUUUAUUUAAUUAAAACAUUGAUUCUAUUGAAAAUUAUUUUAGCAAAAGUUUAUUAAUAGAAAACAUGUGUAUUGAUAGGUUUUAAACUAGUAAAAUAUUUUAUUAAAUACUUAAAAAAAAUAUAGAGAAUUUGGAUUUGCAAAUAGUAUUGUUUGUGUUGAAAAAUUGACAAUAAAAUAAAUAUUAAAUAUAUUUUUGUUAAAAAAUGUAAUUCACCAAAAAAAAAAUAGUAUGAUAAAUUCGUAUGAUUACUAUCUACAUUAUAAAAAUAUAUAUUAAGUAUACUCGUGAAUUUUUUGAGAUUCAUUAUUUAUAUUGUAGAUCAAACAAUCUACUUACUUGAUAGAAAUAUUUGAAUAAUAUAACACAUACAAAAAAAAAUUGUCUUGAAAAACUUAAAUCAUUCUAUGAUAUUGAGUUGAAAGCAUCUUGAAAUUUAUCUAAAAGAGAUUGAUUCUCACAAUUUCCAUGAUAAAAUUAUUUUUGAAGAAUUAAAAAUCAUUACCGAUAUUUUAACAAUUGAAUGAAAAUUAAGAUUUGUAAUAUUGAGUUAUUUGAUAACAUUUUAUUGUUUUCAUAAUGUUUACAUAAUUUAUACAAUAAUAUUAAUGGUCGGGAUCCGUUGAAUCCGGUAAUUCUAAAAUUAAUUACUUCGCUUAAUAACUCAUUAUAAACGAUAAAUUAUAUUAGUUCAACUAUUAAUUAUUAAUAUAAUAUAUUAAUUAUCAAAUACACAAAAUUGUAUAUCAAUAAAAAAGUUGUAGUUAUAUAAUCUAAUGAUCGAUAUUUAUUUAUAUUUUUUUAAAAUUUGUUAUACAUUGAUUUAAAAUUAUUUAAUGAAGUAUCAAAACGUUUUAAUUUUUUUAAAAAAAUUGUUGAAAUAUCAAAACGUUCUAUUAAAUAAAAAAAUUUGAUUUUACUGUUAAAAUUAUAAAAUUUAUCGUUUAUAAAAAAUUAUUAAAGAUAAUAUUUGAUAUCAAUGUUUGAAAGAAUUAUUAAAGAUAAUAUCUCAUUUCAAUGUUACUUCCGAAUUUACUUAUACGCCCCUAUAUACACCACCUAAAAUUGAGACGCACAUGGUGUAUUUUACUAGAUUUACACUACUAGAAGUUGGGAUUUGAAAAAAGAAAAUAUAUAUAUAAAAAUGAACAAACAUGAAAGCCCAAUGAUAAGUCACCAAAAUUUUGGCCACGAUUGCUGGUAAGAGAAAAUAGACCAAAGUGGUUGACGGGAAAGCAGAAAAGAUAGCAGCUUCCUACUAAUAUAUACAUUCAUAUAAGUAGAGCAAAACAUAUUGAUAUAGGGCUGCAUUAUAUCACAAUCCUUUAAUUUUAGUUAGUCUUAAUUAAAACGUUGUAAGAUUGUAGACGGUCUAAUUACGCCAUCUAUAUAACUUAGAUUAUGUUUUUGUAAACAAUUUAAUUUUCAAUAAUAAUAUUGAGGUUAUUCAUUAAUUAUUGCUUUAACUAUAAUAUGGUAUCAAUUGAUAUUUUCAUAAUUUAUCUCCUUUCGUCCCCAUCCAAACUUUCUUAAUUUCCUCUCAACCCUAAAACUUAAUUUCUUGUCUCAAUUUAUCCAUGGCGGCAUAAUCUGAUUUUGAUCACAAUUCCGCCAUUCAUUUUUCCAAUGAAACAAAGAUGAAAAAGAUGAAACCCAAAAUUCUCAUAACUCUUAUUAUCUUCACCUCGGGCGUCGUUCUUGUUUCCCCACCUCUGAACGACACCAACUACUACAACUGGAGCAAAUUAAUCGACGAAAUGCGCUCUCUCUUUCAAAAGCAAGCUCGCUUACAUCAAUGGCAGUUUAUGACAACCACCGUAAAGGAAUUCAUAUUUCGAGUUGUGGAAUCAGUGUAAUAACAUGGUCCUUUCUUGGAUCACUAGGACCUUGUCGCCUAACAUUGCUUAGAGCACGUUUUGCCUCGACAGUACCUAAUAACUUUGGUUCAAUCUUGAAGAUCACUUCACGAUAGGUAAUCACUUUCAUUUUUGUGGUUUACUCAAAGAUUUGCACUCGAUCAAACAAGAGAAUCGUUCUUUAUUAACCUAUUAUACUGAUUUGAAUAUUUUAUGGGAUGACUUAGAGUUUGUACGACCUACCCCUUCUUGUUCUUGCCCUGCUCGUUGUACAUGUUCUCUAAGCUUCGUUGUACAACGAAUACAUAAUUUGUUUUCUUAAAGCACUCAAUGACAACUACAAUAAUGCUCAAACACAAAUUCUCCCUUUACCAUCAUUGAGCAAAGCCUUUUCCCUUAUUGUUCAACAAGACUCAACUUCUACUCUAAAUCUUAACCCUAAUUUUAUUUCUAAUAUCACUUUUUUUUUCUAACUCUGCUAUUUUUAGUAUAAAUUUUGGUAAUUCUUAAUCCUCCAAAUGUUAUGUAGUAAUUGAAACAAAACUAAUCACAUUGUUGAAAACUGCUAUUUUAAACAUGGAUUUCCUCCCGUUUACAAAUCCAAGACUUAAAUCACCAAUGAAUCUUAUGGUGAUGGGAAGAAAUCACAACUUGCAAAUUCUUCUGUUAAUGACUCAAUCACAAAGGAAGAUUAUCAAUUCUUAGUCGAUUUGCUAAAAUCUUCAAAAGAGGUAGGUUAUAUCUCAUCCACUAAUCUUCAUGUGAUUUAUAGUAUUUUCAAGACAGAUAACAAUUACCAACCUCAAGAUAUAUGGGUAUUGGAUUCUAGUAUACAUCAUAUCAUGUGUGCCCUAACAUUAAGGCUUUUUCAACUAUCAAUUAAUAUAUUAUAAUUUAAUAUAAUUUAAUGAUAAUACUCUGUGAAUUAAAAUUUAAAUAUAAAUUUAAAAUUUAACAUCGUAUAUAUAAGAAACAACCUAUCUCGUGCAACGAAUUCAUAUACUAGUUUUUUUUUUAAUAUAAAAAGAAGGUCCUCCAAAAAAUUUAAGAGAGAUAGUCCUGUCAAAAAAUACUUCAUUUUUUUUUUUCUUUUUACAAAGAGAUGUAAUUGUAUCCAUAAAAAAGGAUAUCAUUGUAAAAUAUCUUUUAAUCUAAAGAAAUUAAAAAUACAAAAGUAUUUAAUUUGUUAUCAUUUUAUUUGUGGAUAUCUUUAAUCACGUGAAAACUAAAAUAAGAAGUAACAUUAAUAAUUUGGAUUUUUCAUUUCCUCGUUUAUUCAUAAUUUUAACAAUAUAUAGGUUUUUAAUUAUGAUAAUAUUUAGCAGCAACAUUAUCAUAAAUCUUCUUGAGAAAACAAGAAUCAUAAACAAAUAGCCUUGUAACUAUAGUAAAGGGAUUAUGGAUUAAAAGUAACAACAUUUAAUCUAUAUCAGAAGUAUAACAGAUCACUUAUAAUUAAAAUUUUUAAUAAUGUUAAUUUAAAGUUAUAUGUGUUAAUAGAUGCAUUAAUAAAAACCACAAUUAAUAUUAUUGUAUAAAUUAUAUAAACAUUAUAAAAACAAUUAAUUUUUAUUAUAUAAUUCAAUAUAAUAAGAUUGUAAAAAUAUCUAUGAUGAUUUUUAGUUUUUAAAAAAUAAUUUUAUCAUCGAAAUUGUUGACAAUUAUCUUGUUUAGAUAAAUUUUAAAAUGUUUAUAACGUAGUUUUAACUUAUUAUAAAAAAUAUUUUUAUUUAUAACAUAUGUAAUGAAUCUUAAAAGAUAUAUAAAUAAAUUUAAUGUUUAUAUAAUGUAAUUAUAUACAUGGAUCCCGGGAACUCACACCAAUUAAAAAAAGGAAAAAAUAAUAAUAAUAAUUGUGUGUGAUUGGACGGACUUUAACAGGAGUAGCGGAAUUUUUGUUUAAGAUUUAAAAAAAAUAUAUAAUAUUUUAUCUUUUUAUCAUAAUAUUUUAAAAAAUAAUUUUAAAUAACAAAUUGAUUUAAAUAGCUUAUUUUAAAAUAUAAUUUUAACUAUUUUAUCUAUUUUCUACAAUUUUUUUGGAUAAUAAAAUUUUAAAAAUGAUUAAAAUAAAAAAUUAUUUUAAGAGUCUUACAUAAAAAUCAUUUUUAGAAUAUACCUAUUUUUUAAAAAAAUGUGAUUUUUAUUAAGUUAAUUAAAAUAUCUAAUAAUGAAUAUCUUAAUUAUUGAAUGUUAUUAUUAUUAUUUUUUAAUUGGUAAGAAAUGAAUCUAAAAAACUUCUACUAUUUUUAAGUAAAUUUUCAUAAAAGUAAUUUUAAAAAAUAUAAUUUCAAAAUUAAUUUUUUAAAAUUUUAAACAAAUGGAUCCAGUGAGAGAAGGAUAAAUCGGUUCCGAUGGUGAAUAUUAGUUAGCCAAAUGUUAAAUUUUUCGGCUGAAAUUUUAGUAUGUUAUUUUCAUUAUUGUGUUCGAUAUUCUAAUAAUUUCUAUUAGUAGUUUUUCUUUUUAUCAUAUUCAUAUAUGAUACUCAUUUUUGUUGAGAUGUUAUGUUAUUGUUUAGUUUUUCUCAUUUAAGGUGAUAAUUGUAUUUUUCUAGUGAUAAAAGAAAAACUUUUGAUUAUAUUCGUGAUUUUAUAUAAUUUGAUUAACUAAUCGUAGUUUUUAUAUUUGCUUUAAGAAAAUUUUCACAUUGAAAUUUGAGGUCUCUUAUAUACAUCGUUUUUCUCCUUUAUUGCUAUUAUUAUUGAUAUUAAUUGUAAUUAAUAAUUUACGAGUAGAAUAAAUAAAACAUUUAAUGACUUGCCGUUAUGCGUUUUGGCAAGGAGGACCGAUCCAAAAAUUUCAAUAGCUAAUAUCAUGGUUGUUUAGCAUUAAAAUUUAAACAAAAAUACAUAAAUUCAUAAACAACAAAAUUACGCUGAAAUCAUUAUAUAUCAUUAAGCAUUAAGUUAGGGAUUACAAAAGUUGAACCAUUGUAUAUCCAAAAAUCGAAAAAACCCUUAAUAUCCAAGUAUUAUAAUUGCUCUCUACUUGUUUUCAUAUUUCGAAAGUGUUGAGAAUGUUUUUCAUUUUUAACACUAUCAAAUAUUACUAUUAAUGUAUGUGAUCAAACAUUCAUUAAGAUUUUUAUCAUCUAUAUAGUUCUUCACAAAAUCUGCUGCCACAAACAAAAACAACUUUAACUUCACAAGUAAAUACAUCAUUAGAUAAGUAGUACAUUUUUUAAGUUUUUACAAAUAUUAUUGAAAGAUUACUUAUUUGUUUAAAUUAAAAAUAUUUUUCUAUUUAUAGCGUAUUAAUAGAAUAUAACAUUAAUUAAUCACAAGUAAAGAGACAUAAUAUAAAUCAAGAGUCAAGACAAAAACUAAAUCUCAAUUAAAAAAACAAAAAUAAAGAUAGCAACUUAUACAUCUCUUGGAUCUUUGUCUAGUUUCAAUAGAGCACAAAAAAUGACAUUUAUAAACAAGAAAGCUAGAAAGAUGAGAGCAUAUUAGAAAGGUUUAAUAGUUUCUUAGAUUUUUGUUAAGCUGCACAAUAAUUUUCGACUACUUAUUUCUAUUUUUAUUUUUUGUAACCUUUUAAACCCUCAUAAAUAAAUUACUCAACAUCGAAAAGAAGUUAAAAGUCCAAAUUUUAUUUCCGAAGACUCAAAUGAAACGUCCAUUCAAAUAAAUUACUCGUAUCUUUAUUCAUUAGUGAGAUUAUGUGGGGACAUUAAUGUAUUAAAUUAUCAUACUAUUGGUUUAAAAAAUAUUAAAACAGUGGGUCAGUAGUCCUGACUGAGUGAAAACUAUGCAGAUCCAUCCCUACGCUCUUGUCUCAAUAAAUUUAUUAUAGUAUUUUUUUUUUGAAUGAGAUGUUUUUAACAAAAAUACAUUCAAUAUUUAUUUAUUAUCGAUUUUUCAACACAAAUAAUAAUAUAUAUUCUUUGUAUUUUUCCAAUUAUUUAAUAAAAUAUUUUACUUGUUCAUAACAUAUGUCAAUACACAUGUUUUAUUUUAGUAAAAUUUUAUUAAAAUAUUUUUCAACAGAAUCAAUAUUUUACACAAUUAAAAUAAGAAUAAAAAAAUAUUGUCACUAAAAUAGAAAUAAAACGAGACAAAUGAACAGAAGAAAUAUUGAUCGAUUAGCAUAGACUUGCAAUGUGAGAUUUAUUUUAAUUGAUUAUAUAUGAAAGAGACAAAUAUACUAUCAAUAUUUAAAUUUAAUUCAAAUACUUUUAUAUUCAAUUAUUUCAUAUGAAAAUAUUUUAUUUGUUAUUUAUUUUGAAAUUUUUUAUUUUUUCAACUUUACAUAUAUAUAUAUAUAUAUAUAUACACACACACUUUUUUUAAUCAAUUUUUAAAAUAACAUUUAUAUUAAUUUUUGAAUUCUUUUGCAUAGUAUGCUGCAAAUAUAAAAAAAAAAUAUUAAAUAUGAGUACUCUUGAAUUCUGAUUGAAAUUUUAGUUUUGAAAUUAAUAUACAAAUUAGAAAUUUACUUUUAAAUUAAAAAUUUAAGUGUUACGAAUUUUAAUUAAAAAAUAAUAAAUAAACCUAAUUUAAUUUUCAAUAUAAUAUUAAUCAAUUGUGUAUAUUUUAUAUUAUUUUAAUAUAAUUCAUUCUGCAUAUAUAUAAUAAAUUAUUAUUUUUUUAUAAUUAUUUAAAUUUGACAUGCAUCAUUAGAAUAUAUUAUCCUCCAUUCUCCAUACAUUAAAUAUGACUUUUAUAUAUGUCAUGUGAUCAUAGAUAUUAUAUGUAUUAGUAAUAUAAAAUUAUGUAAAUUUGAACCUCCAUUAUAUUUAUGCAUUACAUAUUUAUUAUUUAUUAAAUAACAUUUUUUUAUAAAUAAUUGCAUAAAAUUUUAUAAUUUUAUUUAUUUAUUUGAUAAAUUAUAAAUUUGACAAUAAACACUUAAAUUUAAAUAAAAAAUAAGAUCAAUAUUAACUAUUUUUUCUUAUAUCUCAUUUCUCUUUACUUUUUAUUUUUUAUUUUUAUAUAUUUCUCUUUUUCUUAUUUAUUUUUUGCAUACACAUAAAAAAAAAUAAAUGUACUUUUUUAAUAUUCAAACACAUUGAUAUUAGUUAAAUAUUUUCACGUGCUAUUACAGAAAAAAUUGACGCAACUUUUAAAAAAUAUCAAAUAUAGGCGUGUAAUUUUAUUUGUUGGAUAUGAAAAGAAAUUCAUUAUAUAUAAUUGUAAUUCUUUUCAUACUAAUAAUAAUAAUACUUAUAUAUAUGUAUAAUUUUUUUUUUAAAUGUAAUAUUUUUGCACAUUUAACUACAAUUUUGGUACUCGAGAAGUGUUUACUAUAAAUGACUUUUUUUUGUGAUAUAUUAUUGUUAAAUCUUUCAAUAUUAUUAAGUUAAUAACCAUUUAAUUUUUUAAGUUAACUAUUAAAUAUUCAAUAAGAGGUUGAGAUAAAUUUAUAAAGAUUACAUGUGAAUUAAGAAUUAAAUGAUUAAAUUAAUAAAAUUUUGAGAUUUUAACCAUGUUGAAAUAACAUAAUAAAAUAUUCAUUUAUUUUACUGUAUUAAUAUAUUAAACUAUCAAUCAUCGUGUAUUCAAAAAAUAAUCAAAGAUUUAUUUCUUAAAAACAUCCAUCAAUAUCAAAAAAUAACACUGCAUUUUUCAUCUAAGUAUUUAAUUUUAAUAUUUAAAUUAAUUUAAAAAAAAUUAGAAUGGUUUCAAAAUAAAUAAUAGUUGCAGUGGAUUGAUUAAAUAUUAAUAUUGAUUUUAAUUUUUUAAAAUUUAAACUCUUUAUAUAUUACAAAAUUUAAACCGAUCCAUUAUUUGUACAUAUCAUAUAAUCCAUACAAACAAACAACAUGGUCUACAAGUUAUAUUCUAACCUUAAAGUAAAAAAAAUAUUUUUUAAUUAAAUUUAAAUAUAAAAUAUAAUUAAAUGUCAAUUAAAAAUAAGAUAUAUAAAAAAAUUUACAUUGCGUGAAUAUUUUUUUAUUUUGAUUUUCAUAAUAUAUUUUUGUAGACUACGAUUGAUUUUCAUAAUAUAUUUAUAAACUAUGAAAUUACACUCACAAUCAUAUUCAUUUAAAUUUAAAUUUUGCUUUUAAAUGUUUUAGUAGAGAUUACCAAAAACAUAAUUUUAUUUUUCUUAAAAUGGAAAUAAAAUACAAAAUCUUUUUUAAUUAGAUUAGAUUAAAUUAAAAUGAAAUUCAUAAUAAUAAUAUUUUUUUUCUGUAUCAACAAAAGGGAAUACUUGUUUGAUUCUCAAAUAAAAAAAAGUAAAAAUAUGAAAUUUAGAAGGGCAUACACGUAAGAUUUUUUUAGUCGCCAAACAAACAACAAAAGAGAAAGGGCGGGAAAAUACACAAGCAGGGUUGGGGCUUUUGUUACUACUCUCGCUGCCACAAAUCACAACUUCAGUUUGAACAGAGCUAAUCGAAAGAAUUUCACGACGAUGAACACUGACGGCCGGAAGUGGGACCGUCGAGAUAACAGAAUAUCCAAAAAGCAAAAACUUAUCCGCAGCGCCGAAGAAGAACUCGAAGUAAAGUUAGGGUUUGAUCUUUUCUCAGAAGGACAAAAGCGACUUGGAUGGUUACUCACUUUCUCAUCAGUAUGUUAAUUUCUGGUUAAUUUUUCUUGUGUGCUUUUGAUCUAUCACUCGGGGUUUUCCUUAUUUCAAUAUCAAAUUGGUGAAUACACGAAGGUGUAACUCAGUUUUAGUUAUUUCAAUUUCAAAUUGAUGAGACAAAUGUGAAAUUGAACUUGUUGGUUACUUGUUGCAAGAAAUGUUUAUGUAUGAAUGAUAUUUUAUUCUCAUAGCUUCCAUUCUAUUAGCUCGACAUAGAAUUGCGCUUUUGCUGCUUCACAUUUACAGCUACAUGCUAAGUAGCACUUACACAGUUCAGUUCUGUUGUAAGACAUGUGUUGGUGUUUGACACUGAACCAACACUAAUGCAUCUACUAACAUUCAAUCAUUUCUAUUUUCACAAAUUUUCAGGGGUGUCUAGUGUUGUGUCUUAGGGUAUGUUUGGGAGUUGGGUUUUGGAGGGUAGGAGAGGAGGGGAAAGGCUUAUUUUUCUUUUUCAAAUUAAGGAAGCUAUAAAAUAUUUCUUAAAAUAAAUUAAGUAGAAUUGAAAUAUUAUGUGAAUAUUUAUCAUAUUAUUUUUUCAAUUUUUAAAAAUAUUAAAUAUAUAGCAAAAUAUUGACUUAGGCCCCCAAAGCCCUUCUCUCCAAAAUGCAACUCCCAGAAAUACUUUUAGUGUUGUGUCUGGUCUACGUGUUUGUGUCCGUGCUCCAUUGGUUAUAUGUGAGAAUGGGAUUGUGCUUCUGGCUAUCUUUCUACUCUUAGGCUAAACUAUAACAUUAUAUGGUAAUUCAUUUUUUAUUGUUGUGAUUUUCCUAGGAUUAGAAGUUGAGUUUUCAGUUCUUAAUUAUGAAGUCACAACAAGUUGGUUUUGAUUUAAUACUUUAUUGGAAGGGACUUAAACAUGAUUUACCAUGCCUUGCAGUCGUCUUAUGAGGACGAGGAUACACGUAAAGCAUACAGUUGCGUUGAUCUUUACUUUGUCACACAGGUAAUUUCGGCUAAAAUGCUUCUCUAGAAAGCUUGAUUUUCUUACUAGUUUUUCCACCAAAAGAGAGGCCUGAUCUGGUAAAUAGAUUACUGAUUGGAGUCUACCUGCAGGAUGGGUCCUCAUUCAAGACAAAAUACAGAUUUCGCCCUUAUUUCUAUGUAGCUACAAAGGUGAGUGAGCACAUUCACCUGCAUGCAUGUACAAUGCCAUAGCAAGAUACUUGGUUUUAAGCUUGUUCAUGUGUGACUAUCCAAUCAUCUAUAUUCAUUGCUUUUACGAAUUUAUUUUGAUUCGGUGUUUAUUCUGUGACAACCAUCAUGUUGAUGGUCCUAAUUGUGAUUAUGUAAAUUUAAUAGAAUAAAAUGGAGAUGGAUGUUGACGCAUACCUGAGACGACGUUACGAAAGCCAAGUUGCAGAUAUUAAAAUUGUUGAAAAGGAAGACCUGGAUCUUGUAAGAAUUUUAUGCAUCUCUUAUCCGAUACAUGAAAAUCAAUACAACUUUAGCAUUGAUUAUCUGUUUUCUUGGUUUUUAUGGUGUAACUCCUUCAGACUUUAAGACCGUUAAGUCAAAAUGGUUCUGACACAGUCUGCAUUGAAGUUCAUUUUGCUUUAAUCAAUAAGACCAUGCAUAAUUGCUUACUUUGAAUUUGCUUAUAAAUGGACUCUGAAUUAUUUUCAUGGUUCUGAGCAGAAAAACCACUUGUCUGGAUUGACAAAAUCUUAUUUAAAGCUUUCAUUUGAUACUGUGCAACAACUGAUGAAUGUGAAGAGUGACCUGAUGCAUGUUGUUGAAAGAAAUAAAGCAAAGUCUGAUGCUGCAGAAGCCUAUGAGUCUAUAUUAACAGGGAGAAGGUAAAUCAAGUGUCACGGGACAAAAAAUUUUUAGAUUGAAGUUGCCUUCCUUUAACAAUGCAAUUUCAUUCUUUAGCUGUGAUUAUGUAAGUAAAUUUUAACUUACUUUUUUACCCGAUCUGAUCGUAGCCUGCUUAUUGCUUAACAGAGAACAAAAACCUCAAGAUUUUCUAGAUUGCAUAAUUGAUCUUCGCGAAUAUGACGUUCCUUACCAUGUUCGCUUUGCUAUUGACAAUGGUAAGUUUUGAUAUUUAUCCUCUUGUUUUAGUAUCUAUUCUAUUAUCCCAUCUUCCAUUGUCAUGUUGUAUUUAUAUUUAUCAUCACACUCUUGAUCACAUGUGACCCAGAUAUACGGAGCGGCCAGUGGUAUGAUGUCGGAGUGUCCAACGAUGGGGUUACACUUGAGAAGAGGACAGAUCUUCUACAGCGUGCUGAAGUUCGUGUUUGUGCAUUUGAUAUCGAAACCACAAAACUUCCAUUAAAGUUUCCUGAUGCUGACUAUGAUUUAGUUAUGAUGAUUUCGUAUAUGGUAGACGGGCAAGGGUAUUUAAUCAUAAACAGAGAGGUGAGGAUUAAUUGGAGGUGUUAAUGUUUGAACAAUCUCUUUCUUGCUGUUUUUUUUUUGGAAAACUCUCUUGCUUGCUACUCUGCCAUUAAUACAAAGGGUAUCGUAAAUACUUGUUGCAUCAGAAGUCUCUUAUCUUUAGUUUUCUGUUGAUAAGUAUUUUUUGAUUGCUCUUUUCUUUUCACAAGAGUUUAAUGUUAUUCAGGUAAUUUACCUGCUAGUGGUUGUAUGAUUCCCAAACACCUCUACUUUGGGUGCACAUGACGUUGAUCUCAAUAAAAUAUUGGGUUUUUUAUUCUAAAUUGGAGAUGUACAAGUAGAGAUUGGUAA
Molecule: long non-coding RNA, 57591 nt
Filed under: Cicer arietinum (chickpea)
Lineage: Eukaryota; Viridiplantae; Streptophyta; Magnoliopsida; Fabales; Fabaceae
Description: long non-coding RNA (CARI_LNC001918)
Source: RNAcentral